Molecule: long non-coding RNA, 82238 nt
Filed under: Gossypium barbadense (sea-island cotton)
Lineage: Eukaryota; Viridiplantae; Streptophyta; Magnoliopsida; Malvales; Malvaceae
Description: long non-coding RNA (GBAR_LNC013140)
Source: RNAcentral
UUUUGGAUUGGAGAAAACGCUUUAAUAUUAUUGAAGGGAUCAGUCGAGGAUUGCUUUAUCUUCAUAGAGAUUCAAGAUUGAAAAUUAUACACAGAGAUCUAAAAGCAAGUAAUGUUUUACUUGACCAAGAGCUAAACCCAAAAAUUUCAGAUUUUGGGAUAGCCAGGAUCUUCGGAGGUGACGAAAAUCAAGCCAACACUAAAAGGGUUGUUGGAACUUAGUAAGUUGGAACUUCCUUCCUACCAUUUCUUUUUAUGCUCUUUUUAAUAAAAUAUGGUAUAAAUAUAUCUAUGGUCAGAUUUAGUGCUUAAAGAUGAUACAUGUACAUACUUGUAUCGAGUUAAUUUUGUUCAAUUUGUGGACUCAAUUUAUUGUUUUUAAUUUUAUAAAUAAAAUAUUAAAAACAUAUUUUUAUUUUUUUUAUAGUUAACUUUAAAUUAUUUAUUAUUUAUUCUUAAUUCAGGUUGGCUCGUGGACAAGUUUAAAUAAGAGUUGUAAUUGGUGCUGUUUUUUAUGUUAAAUACAGUGGUUAUAUGUCUCCUGAAUAUGUAAUGCAUGGGCGAUUUUCAGAGAAAUCUGACGUGUUCAGCUACAGAGUUCUACUAUUGGAGAUUGUUAGUGGAAGAAGAAACAAAAGCUUUUACAACAAGGAUGACCUUAGCCUCUUGGGAUAUAUGUAAGUUUAUAAAAUAGUUAGAGAUGUUGUGGAUGAAAUUAGGGUGUAAGAUUUUGUAUUUGCGAGCUAUUCGGGUUCGGUUUGAAAAAACUUGAAUUUAGCUCUGUAAUUAUUGAGUUAAGCGAUCAUGUGAAUUGAAUUUGAGCAUCUUAAUACUUGAAUUGAGUAGCUUGCAAGUGAAUUUCAAGAACCCUAAUACUUGAAUUGCGUAGCUUGCAAUGGUUUUCAAUCUUUAAUCAAUAUUGAAAAUUUUCAGUUCAAACUUGAGCUUAAUUACAAGUAAUCAAGUUUGAAGUUAUACAUAGGAGUGAAGCUCAUUGUAGACUUAGGUAAAACAAGCAGAGUUAAAACACUUCAAUUAAUUCUAUUAAAGCUUUAAGGGUAAAAAUUUGAGUCAAGUUAAGCCAAAUGAUUUAGGCAUUAAUUUAGAUAAUAUUGUUUACUGUUUCAGGUCUGGAAAUUAUGGAAUGAAGGCAACAUUUGGGACUUAGUAGACAAGGUGAUUUCAAAGUCGGAAUCAGAUUUAAAGAAUAAGAAAGAAAUAUGGAGAUGCAUACAUGUUGGAUUGCUAUGCGUUCAAGAAUAUGCUAAAGAUAGACCCACUAUGUCUACUAUUGUUUCAAUGCUUAACAGUGAGAUUUCAGAUCUUAACACUCCAAAACAACCUGCUUUCACUCAAGCACUAUUAAUUAGCGAUGAUUUUGAAGAUUGUGUUUCAUUUAAUGAUGUAACUCUGACGGGCUUUGAUGGUCGAUAAAGAUACAAAUUAAUUAUUUGUAGUGUUUACAAUUAAAGUUCAAGCAGUAAAAUUUUUUUUUAUAUUAUGUUUUGAUAUGUUUUUAUCAUUUUAUUUUGAUCAUAAUUUGUCAUUUUAUUUUUUUCAUUCUAGAGUGAAUUUACCAUUAUAUUUAAACAUGGUAGCUUUGUCCCAAACUUGAAAAUUCGAUUUUAUCAAAUCCAAACUUAAACUUGACCUAACUUGAAUUGAAUAUAAAAAAUUAAGAAUUUGAACCCGUUCACCUUAAACUCAAAAAUGAUCUAAAACCUAAAAUGAUUUUAAUUUAAAGUGACCAAAUUCAAAAUUUCUUAAAUAAACUCGAAAUGUUCAGAGCAUAAUAUGACCUAACUUGAAAAACCCAACUUACAAAUCCACUUGAACCCAAAAUAGCUUCAACCUUAAACUAAUUCAAAUUCAAAAUUACUCAAAUUUUAAAAUUUGAAUUUAGUUCAUUCAAAACCAGUCCAAAAUAAAUUCAGUUAUACUUUAUGUCACCAUUUGUGAUGAUUAUCACUUUUGUUUAUUGAAUUUUGCGGGGUAAAAAAGCUCAUGAAGUUUCUAAAAAAAUUAUUAAGUCAUUCGACAAAAAAUGCAUUCAAUUUAAUCAAUGAAAUCCGUCCUUGAUAAUUACUUUUGUUAAAAGUUGGUGAUGUGGUAGUUAAUAAUUGUCAAAUCAUUCAUUUUCUUUCAAGCGCAGUCCAAAGUAGUAGAUAAUGUGUCAACUUAAUGACAUGGGAAUUGGGGAAUAAAUUUAAAGAGAUUAUUAAUUAAACUAUUAAAUGUAAUUAAUUAAAGUUAAUGAUAGUUGUCAAAUCAUUCGUUUUCUUCCAAGUGGCAAGCAUGACCGAUCGGUACAUCCAAACCUAAUCAUAAAGAAUAAAAUAAUAGCACCAAAUUUUGAUGGGUGUCAUCCACCAAAAAUAAAAUAUCUAUGCCUAAAAUUGAAAUCAAAUUUAAAUGUAGGAAGUAAGUUCAAUCCCAUAAAGACUGAUCUAAUUGAAUUUGGAUUUUGUUAUAACUAGAAUGUGUCGUAGGUAGUUUUUAUUUCCGCAACUCAUGCUAAUAUGUAUGAAACAGAAAGGGGAUUAAAUUGAAAUAUAAAAUAAAUAAUAAGAAAAUAAAUAUAGUACAAAGAUUAAACAUUUCUAUCUUUCAACAUUAGACCUCAAAGUUUUUAUCUUUUACAAUUAGAUUCCUAACAACUAGACCUGUUCAUGAGUCGAGUCACCCAGCCUGGCCCUAAAAGUGGGAGAGUUUGAGCAAAAUAUAGACCUAAAAAAUAGGUUUGGAUAAAAAAUAAGGCCCGUUUAAAAAAUAGGUUUGGCUUUGAGUAAAGCAUUUUUUGCCUAGGUCUGGCCCGGCCCGAAUUCACAAAAGGACAAAAAAUCUACUAAUUUUUGUUGUUUUAAUGCUAUUUUCUUGUUAUUUUCUCCCUAUUUUGCUACCAUUUCACUAUUAUGUUACUAUUAUUUUGUUGUUAUUAUUUGAAUAUUGUAUAACACUUGUUUUAUCAUUACUUUUGUUAUUAUUUUAAAGGCAUUUACUUGUUAAGUUGCAUUUAUCUUAGUGUUAUUUAAGUAUAUAUACAUAUUUUUUAAAGUUUAUUUUAAUGUUUUAGUAUUUUGAUAUAUUAUAUAUUUAAAAUUAUAUAAAAAUAAUAUAAAAAUUAAUAUGGGUGGGUCAGACCUGAGUUUUAGUAUUUUUAUCCGAAUCGGGUCUAGAUAAAAUUUUAGGCCCAUUUUUUGGGCCGAGCUCAGGCCUAGCAAAUGGGCCUAUUUUUUUUACUUGACCCAAACUCGGUCUGGCUUAGCCCAUGAGCACCUCUACUACCAACAUAUAUUUACUCAAACUUAUCCAAGCUUGAAUUAAUAUCUCUUAGCACAUUUUCUCGAUUUUCACAUUAUAGAUUUAACUAACAUUAAACAUCCUAACUCAAUUUUGAUAUGGGGGUGAGCAUUUGAUUGAAUCAAGUGAAAAAAUUUUGAGUUUAUGAGUCCUAUUUUAUCAUCCUAACUCAAUUUGAAUUUUUUUUUCGAAUUGAGUCGAGUGAAAUAAAAUUCGACCCAAGUCGAAUCAAAUCGAAUAGAGUGAAAUUGUUCAAGUUAAAUUAAAAAAAUAAAAAUAAAAAUAAAAAUAAAAAUAUUAUUACAGUAUGACUAAUUCCAUAUUAGAGCACAUAAAUUUGAAAUAUUUUUCAAAGCAAAAAAAAAAAAAAAACUUGAGUAUGAUAAAUUUGAAUCAUUACUUAAGUCUCCAACAUUAUUGUUUUAGAAAUUAUUUAAAAUAUUAACUCUUUUUAUAUAUUUUUAAGAAUUUCUAUAAUUUCUUUAAAAAUAUAUAAUUUCUGAAAUUUUUAUAAAUAUUUUGAAUUAUUUUGAGAGAGAGACCAAUUUGCUUAUUUUUAAAGUUGUCAGGAACCAAAAUGAUGUUUAUACCAAUCUGUUAUUUGAAUUAUUCGAGGUAUACAAAUUGUGAAAUUCAACUCGACUUGAACUUGAAAUCCAAAUUUAGUUAUUCGCGUUGACUUGAAUAAUUUAAAUAACUCAAAAUUAAAAAAAAUCGAUUUUUUUUCAGUCGAAUCGAAUUUUACUCACCACUAAAAAGAUACAAAAAAUAAAUCAUAACUUGAUCCACGAACAUGUAUUUAAAUAGUAGCAGCAAUGUAAAAUUUAGACUCUUUUCAUUGUUCAAUAUUUAUUUCAAUUAAUCGACAUAACAUCAGUUACAUCUACAAUCACUAAGGUAGAAAACACAACAAUAAUUGUAGUUUAGAUUCACUAUUAUAGGAAUUACUGUUAAUCUUGGAGGUCUCCAUGUUUAAUUUUUAUAUAAUAUAUCCCGUUGCACCCAAAAAGGAAGCAUUCCUCCCCUCCUUUGGAUUUUCUAAUACAUGUUUAAUCACUAUUAGUAAGUUAAUUUUAAAACUUUCAUAUUUAAUAGAUAGAUUUUACAUAUAUCUCACACAUUUAAAUGGCGAUAAUCAUGUAGAAUGAUAAAAGAAAACUGCUCAAAUGUAUGUUGGAUGCUAACGUAUUGUUAUAUACAAGUAAGAAAAUGGAGUAACAGAAAAUAACAAAAAAAUAAACUACUAACUGACUAACAAGAAAUUAAUUUAAAACUAUAUGACUAACAGCCCCUCUCAAGCUGGAGAGUGAAUGGGAAACAAUCCCAACUUGGACAAAAUAAGCUGGAAGGGAACAUCAGUCAGAGCUUUGGUGAAGAUGUCAGCAAGCUGAUCCUUGGAAGAACACGGAAGCAAUUUAACAACACCGAACAACACUUUUUCACGAACAAGAUGACAGUCGAUCUCAAUGUGUUUAGUACGUUCAUGAAACGUAGGGUUUGCAGCAAUUUGAAGAGCAGAAUUGUUGUUGCAAAACAAAGCAGUAGGCCCAGAAAUAGACAUAUGCAAGUCGGACAGAAGAAAUCGAAGCCACUUGAUUUCACAAACAGUAGAUGCAAGAGCCCUAUAUUCUGCUUCUGAGGAAGAGCGAGACACAGUGCUUUGCUUCUUGGCUUUCCAACUAACAAGGGAAUCCCCAUAAAAUAGGCAGUAACCAGUCACGGAGCGACGUGUUAGAGGACAACCAGCCCAAUAAGAGUCACUAAAUGCCUUCAGUGUAGACGAAGAAGAAGCAGAAAAGAAAAGACCAAAGUCAAUGUAGCCUUUCAAGUAGCGAAGGAUGCGAUGGGCAGCUUGAAGGUGAGUGACUGUAGGUCGAUCCAAGAAUUGACUUAACCGUUGAACAGCAAAAGCAAGAUCAGGUCUAGUAGAAACCAAAUACAAUAGACGUCCAAUAAGUUUUCUGAAAAUAGUGUUAUCAGGAAGCAAUUCGGCAGAAGCAUCACGAGGGAUUUUGGUCACCAUGGGAGUUGUAACAGGCUUGCACUCGGAGAAACCAAAAUCAGUCAGGAGAUCGAGAGCAUAUUUCUGCUGACAAAGAUAAAUACUAGCAGAACUACGAGCAACUUCAAGGCCAAGAAAAUACUUGAGAUCUCCCAAGUCUUUGAUGCUAAAGGCAGAAUGCAAGAAGGCUUUUACGCAUGUUAUUUCUUCCAAAAGAUCACCGACUAGAAUAACAUCAUCAACAUAAACUAAUAAGGCAGUAAAGGAAAUUUCAUCCUUUUUAACAAACAAAGAAAAAUCUGAACUAGAUUGAACGUAACCAAUUGAAGUGGGAGCUGCAGUAAGUUUGGCAAACCAUUGUCGACUUGCCUGCUUGAGACCAUAUAAUGACUUUUGCAACUUACAAACCUUAUGGGAAGUAGAGGGAGCAAAACCAGGAGGCAAAUGCAUGUAAACCUCUUCAGUCAAAUCGCCAUGCAAAAACGCAUUGUUAACAUCAAGCUGGUGCAAAAACCAGUUUUUGGAAGCAGCAAUAGCAAGCAAUAAUCGAACAAUAGUAAUCUUGGCCACAGGGGAAAAGGUAUCAAAAUAAUCAACACCCUCAGUUUGUGUGAACCCUUUUGCAACCAAACGAGCCUUGUAACGCUCAAUAGAACCAUCAGCUCGAUAUUUCACACGAUAGACCCAUUUGCAACCAAUUGCAAUCUUGCCUGGAGGUAAGUCCAUAAUGAUCCAGGUGUUAUUUUGUUCAAGAGCAGAAAUUUCAGCUUGCAUUGCUUCUUGCCAAUGGGGAAUUUUGCUAGCUUGUAAAUAGGUUGUAGGUAUGGGAGAAGCAUUGAUAGCAAGAGUAAAAGGUGUGGGGCAGCGAAGAUGAUUGGCAACAGCUUUGCUGGAAAAGCAGUGAUACUGGUCUAAAUAUGAAGGAGGUUUCCUAAGACGAGGUGGCCUAGAGGGUUGUAAAGGAACGGGAGGUAAAGGUGGUGAUUGAAGUGGCAAAUCAUAGGUAAUAGUGGGGUCAAAGGUUAACUGUAGGAUGAAAGAGGAAGAAGAUGGUUGAUGAGAACAAGGAAAAACAGACUCAUGGAAAUGGACAUUUCUAGAGAUAAAAAUGGCAUGAGUUGAUAGGUCAAAAAGAAUAUAGCCUUUGACAUGGGGUGGAAAACCAAGAAAGACACAUUCACGUGCUCGAGGAUCCAACUUAUGACGAUGAGCAGUGUGAGUGGUUGCAAAGCAAAGACAACCAAAGACACGGAGGUGUUGAAAAGAUGGCUUAGUUUGGUAUAAUUUGUCAAAAGGAGUAAGGUUUGUCAAAAGGGGAGUAGGGGUACGAUUAAUAAGAAAAACAGCAUGAAGAACAACAUGUCCCCAAAAAUGCUUGGACAGAGAGGAAUGAAACAAGAGAGCCCGUGCAACAUUGAGAAUAUGUUGGUGCUUACGUUCUACAAGAUCGUUUUGUUGUGGGGUUUCAACACAUGUAGUUUGAUGAAUUAUGCCUUUGGAAGCAUAAAAAGCUGAAAUGGCAAACUCACAACCAUUGUCAGAUCGAAUGACUUGAAUUUUAGAUAUUAAUAAAUGAAAAAAUGGAACGGAUAUUAACCCAUAUACACAUCGAAAACGCUCUUCCAUUUCUAACCAAUUUCCAUCAAUGCAUUGGAUUAUAUGACUACUUAAAUUUUACUUUGAAGUUAAAUUUGUAAUAUUUCAAAUAAUUGGUUUAAUACAUUAUAAUGUUGUACUAAUUUUAUAUAUUUAUACAAAUUUUAUUUAACAAAUUGAAUUUUAGUUUAGUAAUAUAAUUUUUUCACAUUAAGUUUUCAAUUAAUUUGAUAUAUAUGUUAUUUGAGAAUACAAUUUUAUAUAUUUUUAAUGGUUGAAUUUUUUUAUAUUAAACAAAUAAAUAUACUUUUUAACAUAUUCCAAUUUUGAUGUAAGUUACAUAUAACAUGAAAUUAAACAAAUAUAGAUCUUAUAAAAAGAAAAACUAAGGAUCAAUAUUUUCCUACAAAUGAUCAAUAUGCAUGGUGUUACUUUCCCUUUUUUGUUUGAGAUCAUUUGGUGUUUAGUUUCAAUUAAAUUUAGAAUUUUUGGUCGGGUUUCAAUUAAAUUUAGGUCUCAACACUAUAUUCUAUAUCCACAAAAUUAAACUUGAAAUCUUAGUUAAGGAACAUUGAACUCAGGGUGGUGCCAAGGAUGCUAACAAAGGUUUCGUUCGCCUGCUUUUCCCUCCCCAAAAAAGGAAAUCUCACUUUUGGCCUUUUAAAGUUUAAAGAAUUUUAAAGGGUAAAUUACACCCAUGGUCACUUUUGUUUACUUCAGAUUACGUUUUAGUCACUUAUGUUUGAAAUGUUACGUUUUAGUCACUUAUGUUAUUGUGUUGUAACAUUUUAGUCAUUGAGCCAUUAAUUGUCGUUAACGGUAUAACGGUAAGCUAAUGUGGCGCAUUAAAUCAUCAUUUUAAACAAAAAGAUUACGUUAAAUUAUACAAUAGGUCCCCAUAUUUUUUUCAUUUUGAGCAAUUUAAUUUUUUUUCUUUUAUGUUCUUUUAACUUUCUUUUUUUUUUCAUUAUUUUCCAUUCUCUUCUGCUUCUCCCUCUAUUUUCCUACCUUCUCCAUUUCUUUCAAUAUAUUAGGAAGUCGAAUUGGCAGUGAAGAAAAAAACAUGGUAUGGAUUUAUGGGUUUUGGUUAUAGGCAAUGAUGGUUUUCGACUUCCUACUUAUUUCUUCACUGCCAAUUCGACUUCUUGAUAUGUUAAAGGAAAUGGAGAAUGUAAGAAAAUAGAGGGAGAAGCAUAAGAUAAUGGAAAAUAAAUAAAUAAAAAUUAAAGAACAUAAAAAAUUAAAUUACUCAAAAUUAAAAAAUAUGGGGAUCGAUUGUAUAAUUUACCCUAAAAUUUUUGUUUGAAAUGAUGAUUUAACGUGUCACGUCAACUUGCUAUUACACCGUUAGUGACAAUUAAUAGCUCAGUGACUAAAAUGUUACAACACGAUAACAUAAGUGACAAAAACGUAACAUUUCAAACAUAAGUGACUAAAGUGUAACCUAAGGUAAACAAAAGUGACCAUGGGUGUAGUUUACCCAAUUUUAAAUUAAUAUAUAGUAAAUUUAUACUUUAACUUCCAAAAAUAUUAAAAUUUUGAUUUAGUCCUUUAAAAUUAUAAGAUAUAAGUUAUUAAAAUGGUAAAAUUACAUUUUUAUCUCUCACAAAAAUAUAUAACUUAAUUCCAACCCCUAGAAAAAUUUUCUGACUUUCCCCCUAAUUAAACUUCUUAUCACUCAGUCCAACAUCUGUAGCUAAACAAAUAAUCUUAUUUGUAAGAUCUGUAUAACAAAGGGAUAAAUAUCAAAACUACACAUAAAAUUUGAUCUAAUAUGCAAUUUGAUAUAUGAACUUUGAUUUGAUGCAAUUAUACACAUCAAACAUGGAUUAUAAUUCAAAUGUGUAUAUAAAACAUUUAAAGAAAUAAAUACAUUACUUUAUUUUUUAUAUUAGAUAAAUUAAAUUAUUUAUGUAUGUAAUAAAAAAUACAAAAUUAUAUUAUAUCAAUAAUUAUAUCAAUAAUUUAUAAAAUUAAAAUAAAAAAGUUUUCAUAUAUAAAAUCAUAAAUUUUUAGAUUUAUCCGUAUAGCAAACAACUCCCAAGUUGUGGGACAUAUAAGCCAUGCAUGCGUCAUAUCAAACGUACAAAAAACUUCUAAAGAUAGGGAAAUACUAAGUCAAUGUGUCUUUGUGCUGAAAGAAUGUUGAAUUCAAUUAUAAUUCUACAAAUUAUGCACUUGUAAGUCCAUAAUAUAAAUAAAUGAACAUGAAAUUACUUUAUCAUGUCAUAUUCCAUGAUUUGCUGACAGGAUCUUUAUCGUCCACCUUCUUUUCUUGGCAAAUUAAGAAAGACCAACUUAAGCUCCAAGCAAGUCUAGUGGGUCCUUCUGUCUAAUACUUUAAAUUAUACAUUUAAUUGAUUUUAGUAGUUAAAUUUUAUUAUUAGAUUGAUUUUAUGUGUAAGUUGCAACUCUAUUCUUUAGAUUGAUUUUUUUUAAUCCUUAAAAUUUUUGGAUUUUAAAAUUCAAUCCUAACUCAAACGACAGUAGUUAAAUUCAUCAAGUACUAUAAUACCGUUUUUGUGAGUAUUAUUUGUAAAUAAAAAGUUAAUAUAAUAUCACACAUGAUAAUAUAUUUGUUGUAUAAUAUUUUAAAAAUAAUAAAUCUAACUGCUAUUAUUUGAGUUACACAUAAUUUAAAGAAUUUAAUUAUUUUAUAAAUCAAAAUAUAGUAUCAGUGCCCCUAAUCCUAUGAUAAAAAAAAUUAUAUUAAAAUGAAGUCUUAGGUCCAGAAUUCAAUUUUUUGGACAUCCUAUACCCUGAUUGUAUUUGUGUGAACAUGGUGGCACAUGAGUUGAUUUUUUGGUACAACAAUGAAAGAAAGAGCCAAGAAAGAUAUAGAAAAUUAAGAGUAAUUGACACUUCCAGAAAAUUUCCAUAAGUCAAAAUGAGAUUACGUAUAUACAAAAAAAAAAAUUGAGAUGUAGAUCACUAGAUGUAAACAUUUGAGGCUGCCAUGAAACAUCAUUACACCAUAUCAAUAUCAGACCCUAAGAAAGAGUCAAUUUCUGUAGAAGGUCCCUACCCUAUAUAUAUUUUGUGAAUUUAGUCCUUUCAUAUAAUUCGGUAUUUUUAAUCUCUCCUCGUUUUAGAAAUUACAAAUUCAAUUGAUAAAGAUGGACACAAAAAUUGGUUAUACAAAUCAAAAAACUUUUUUGCAUUUGAAACUUCACCCAAAAUCUAAUUUAUUAUCAAUAUGCAGUGUAAGAAGUGACUAAGACUCAGAUACCAUAAUGAGAUACACGAAUGUAAUCUAUAAUGAUCAUAAAACGAUCAAUUUUUCAUAUAUUGAACUGGAUAACGAGCUAUGAUAUAUAUACACAAUCUGUCAAACUAAUUACAACCACCUUAACUGCUAUUGUUAACUGCUAACUGUCAUAACAGUUUUAUUAAUUCUUAACAUUCCGUAAAGAGACUUUUUUUGAUGUCUUAAAUCAACAAUGUAAUUUUUAAGAAGAAAACAGUGGAAAGCAAAUUAAACUUGCAUUUUGGGUGGAAGAUAAAUGAGCCAAAUUAAACCUGCAUGAGGUGACAUGCUAGUUGAAGACAAUAUUCUAAUACAAAAUAGGUAGUGAUUAUAUACUAUUACCUUAGAAUGUUAAUCUUUUCAUCUUAUUUUUGAAGAUAGAAAACAAAUUACAUGAAAAUAUUUUGUACACGAGUAGUGCACUAGCGUGAAUGACAUUGUAGUCAAUGAUUUUGGUAUACUUUUUCACAAAGUAAAGCGGAUAAUUCGGUUUUUGGAAGGUUACUUAAAAAUUGCUUCCAUUUUAAAUCUUGUUUUUAAUCAUUAUCCAUACGUUGGAUUUGUAGAUCCACUAAUAAAAUAGCUCAUUCGUUGGCGAGAACGGCUUUAUCUCGAACUACACCAACUUUUUACGAAGUCCUUCUAUUUUGGAUAUUUUGAAUGCUAUUGUUCUUCUAAUUUUGGUGAAAAUGGGGAGAACUAAAAUUAGGUGUAUUGGAAACCUAUUGGCUUGAGAGUAGAUUCUCUCCUAUUUUUACCUCUUUUUGUCAUUUACUAUAUGAGUUUUACUUUUAAAAAAGAAAGAAAGAAAUGGUAGCUCAAAUACUAGUCCUACUUCAACCCGUAUAGCACCCCCUCGCCAUACGCUAUUGUUAGGAUUGUGACGUGAAAAUAGCUUGCAAAUCCGAUAAAAUGUGUAACAGCUAUAUCAACGGAGCGUAAUAAUCUGGCAAAGAAAAUCAGACCCCCUCAUACGCUGUUAUUAGGAUCGUGACAUGAAAUAGCAUGCAAACCCGACUAAAUAUGCAACGACGAAAUCACCGGAACUAACCCCUAUAAUAAUAUGGCAAAGAAAAUCAGACCCCCUUCCCCGAAAACACAGUUGUUAAGAUUGCGACAUCACUGGAGAACAGCGAUAUCAACAGAACUAACACUUUUUUAUAUUUUGCAUACUUUGUCCACAUUAAUUGCAAUAUUCUAGUUUAAUCUUUUCGUCUCCUUCAUACUCCUUCAAGAAAUCCCAAACUUCAAAGGUUAAUUUCAUUGUCAUCAUUCUGAGAAAGAUUUCAGAUGAGGCUGCAACAAAUAAUGUAGCUCUUGCCUCUGAUUUUCUUGAUUCUCUCAUUGUAAUACUUGAUUUGCACCAUAGCCGGAUUGACAGGUAAUGAAAGAACUUCGUAGUCCUUCUCCAUGGCUUCCCAGAAAUCAUUUUCCUCUAGAUGAGCCUCUAUCCUUGCUGCCCAAACAUGGGAACCUUCACUAUUGAAAAUAGGUGGUGCAAGUGCAGUGAAAGGGAUUUCUGAAUCCAUAGAAGAAGAAAGAGAGAAAAAAUUUUCCUUAGUUACAGGUCCCUCAAGAAGAUAACUCUGAUACCUAUUUAUUGAAGUUUUUGAAGAAAAUUUUAUUGUAAAAAGAAAACAACAAAAACAAGAGGAAAAUAUAAAUAAUUUUUAUGGAAAGUGUUUUCAUUUAUUAAACUAAAAACUAGUGUUUAUAUAGAAAAACAACAACUAUUGACUAAAACUAGACUACUAAAAUAUUCAUAAUCUCUAAACAUCAGCAACAAAUAAAAAAUUGUUAAAAUUAAUUAGAUUAUUUUGGGUUUUUUUACUAAAUUAUUAUAAAAAAAUUUCAAAAUUUCAAAAUAUUAUAUAUAUUUUUAUUUACCAAAAUAUACAAAACAAAAAACAAAAAACAGAAAAAAAAGUUGCGCCGAUUUGACAGAACCCUGGUGGAGGGGUUCUGAUUGGCGGCACCAAAGGUGCCAAACUGAUUGGCGGCAUCGAUGGUGCCAAUGAGGUUGGAAGCACUGAUGAUGCCAUACAGGUUGGCAGCACCGACGGUGCCAUACUGAUUGGCGGCACUACUCGUCUUAUAAACACGAGCUUUGUCCAGCUGAAGGAAGAAAAAUUAGAAGAAAAAAAAGAGAAAGAAGAGGUGCUGCAGAAAAAAAAGAGAAAAAGAAGGUAUUUUUUUUAAAAAUAACUGAUUAUCUUGUUGUUAUUGUUUUGUAUAAUUUGCAUUAUUUUUUGUUUUAGUUUAGUUAUUAAGAUUAAUAAAACUCAAAUUGAUAGUUUUAAUUAUUAUUAUUAUUAUUAUUAUUAUUAUUAUUAUUAUUAUUGUUAGUAUUAAGAUGUUAUUAAGGUAUUAAGAUGUUACUUAGUAUUAUUGUUAGUAAAAAACUAGUAUUAUUAUUAUGGUUAGUUAUUAUUUUUAUUUAUCAAAAUAAACUAGUUAGUAGAAAGCUAGUAUUAUUAUUAUAGUUAGUUAGUUAUUAUUUGUAGUAAAACCCUAAUUAAUAAUUUUAGUUAGUAUUAUUUUGAGUAUAAAAUUGUGUUAGUUAUUAGGAUUAGUGGUUAAACGGUUUUCAUGUACAAAAUUGUAUAUUGAAACAUUAAAUUUUUUUAUUUAAGUAAUUUAUUUACCGAUCGAGAUUUUUUAUGAGAUUUUGUUUAUUUUUUGACAGAUUAAAUAUUGAAGAUGGAUGCUAAGUUUUUUGUAUGCGUUUAUUUCGAUAGAGUCAUCUUGACAACAAGUGUUGGAUGUGUAUUUGAAUGUCGGCAACAAAUGGCAAUGAGAUUUAAUAGAAAUGUCUCGUUCGAUGAAAUGAAGGCAAUGAUUAAUGCAAAAAUUCUUAGACGUUGUGGGAGAAGGAUAUCAAAAAUUUUCUACAAGUUUCUAGUUUCGACAAAUCCGGUCAAAUUCACCGAAAUGGAACUUGUAGAUGACGAAGACGUGGAGACAAUGGUGGAUCUCUACUGUGGGAAUGAGAGUGACAAGAAUGCACCGAUUCACUUAUUUGCUGAGUUGGUCGGUAUGGAGCAAAAUGAAGAUGUCAAUGCAUGUGAUGAAGAACACGGAGCUCAAGAACCAUGGAUGGUGGCUCCAAUAUCAUACGUUGAUAGUGAAUCAACUAUGGGUGGGAUCGGUAUCGACUUGAAUAUUACACCCGAUGUUGAUAUGGUUGGUGGUGAAGAAGAAAGUGGUGGCGAAGAAGAAGGUGGUGGCGAUCAUUGGGAUGAAGAGGUCGAUAGUGACGGUGAUCCCGAUGUGGACGAUGUACCUGAUGAUAUUGACGAUGAAGAUGUCAACAACGAUGAAGACAUUAACGCUUCUUCGGUCGGGGAGCAGAUACGGCGUAUUUUGAUACACAAUAAUUCUGCGCCACACAUAUCGCUCAUAGACCUCGACGCAGCGUAUGUAGCUGAGUUCCCGGAGUACCCUGAAAUAGUUCAUCCUCACGGGCUGGCCGUAACAUCUGAUGAUGAGGAGUUAUACAUAGGCCAGAGAUUCAGCUGUAAGGAAGAGUGCGUAUAUGCCAUUAAACGGUACAUCAUGAACAUAUCGAUGGAUUAUAAAGUCGCAGUGUCUACUCCGACAAUAUAUGUUGGGGAGUGUUGGAAGGCAGCGAAAGGCUGCAAUUGGUGGGUACGAGCUGCAUUCAUUAAAAGUUCUCAAAUGUGGGAGAUACGAAAAUUUAUUGGUCCUCAUACAUGCACAUCAACACGUAUGACAGAAGAUCAUGGAAAACUUGAUUCGAAAACUAUCUGUACGUGUAUCAUGCCAAUGGUGAAGGACAUGCCGACCAUUAAAGUUUCGGUACUGAUUGCUGAGAUGCAAGCACGAUUCUAGUAUCAAGUCUCAUAUUGGAAGGCAUAGAUAGCUAAACAGAUGGCAAUGGAGCAACUGUAUGGGGAUUACGAUUCGUCGUAUAACAAGCUUCAAGGUUGGAUAGCUGCUAUGCAGGAGUACGUACCGGGGAUUGUGAUUGAGUUGCAGACAAGGCCAUAUUAUGGCCCGAACGACCAGUUACAGCCAGCAAAAAGGAUUUUCCAUUGGAUGUUUUGGACGUUUGAUCCAUGUGUUCGGGCAUUUCCCAAUUGCAAGCUAUUGGUGCAGGUGGAUGGGACCUGGUUAUAUGGAAAAUAUACACAGAUCCUACUUCUUGCGAUUAAUCAAGACGGCAACAGAAACGUGCUCUCGAUAGCAUUUGCGAUCGUAGAUAAAGAGAACAUGGAGUCUUGGGAAUUCUUCCUCACAAACCUGCGGAGGUAUGUUAUUAGCAACGAUAACAUUUGUAUCAUCUCCGACAGAGGGAAAGGUUUAAUUGCAGCAAUUAGGCGUUCUGGUGUGCCAUGAAGAUCCUUUUACUGCAUCCGUCACAUUGCGACUAACUUCCACAAAGAUUAUAAGAAUGCAGAUAUGAAGAGACAAGUCGUGGCAAUGGGUAUAUCGGGCAUAUUGUUCGAUCAUGAAGUAAGAUGUCAUGAAUAUUAGAAUAGCAGCUUACCCCUUCCCGGGCAUACUGUUCGAUCAUGAGGAGGUAUAUCGGGACAAGGUACGACCUCCCGAUACCUGGACGAGCACUCCACCUACAAAAAACAAAUAUAGGGUUUAGGGUUGGUAACAUUAGUCAAUAUAUUAUGACUACAAAUAAUGACAAUUUAUAUUUUAUCACCUGUUCAGCAGUGGAUAGACAUACGGUUGGUGACUAACGGAUGCCAAAAAUGGCAUCCGAUAGAGCGCCCAGGACUGUAGCAGUGGGAGGCAUCCGCCCAUGUCUACAACAUCUGGGUUUGUCACCCGACAAAGCUCCCGGUACAACAUUGCAAGAAUGGCGGAGCCCCAACUAUACGAGCUAACAGUGGACAAAUCAGCUAACAGGGGCAAUUACAUCAAAUGCACCUUGUCGUUGUUUGCAUCAGGCAUGAGUACUCCCCCUACGAUAUGCAUGAUGUUCGCUUGAGCAGCGCACAUCAACUCACCUUCAAUGGCAGUCGUUGAUAAUUGUCCAAAUUUGGCUUUCAGCCAUGUAAAUUGUAAUCCUGUAAAAUUUCUCUCACCGUCCCCUUGCGAGUCCCCCAGUAGCUCAUAACAAAGUGUAGUCGGAUCAGUAAAUGAAGAUACUCCCGUUACGAGACUCCCGUCAAUUGGGAGCCCAAGCUGCAUUGCAACAUCCUCCAAGGUCACUGUGCACUCCCCGCAUGGAAAAUGAAAAGUGUGGGUCUCCGGGCGCCACCGCUCCACUAGUGCAGAUAUUAAAUCAUAGCGCACGUUGGAGGACCGGAUUAGUGCUGCUGACCCAAAUCCGGCUUGCUCCAAGUACGGCAUCAAUCAUGCAUCCGGAGCCGUUUUCCAAACACUAGUACGACCCCUUAAUAAUCGGUACGAGUCUUGAUAAUGUUAAAUUACAGAAAAAUAUUACGAUAACAUGAUUUAUUUGUAUAUACUACGUAUAUCCUUUUUAAAUAAAUAGAACCCGCGAUUAACAAAUAAUAAAUCAUACCGUGUUAUUAGCCGCAUCAGAUAUGUGUCUAUUGGUUCGAAUCAAUGAAGCCAUUGUGAUGCCUGCAAGUUGAAAAAAAAAGUUAGUAAAAAACUCUUACUUCGGCCAUUUGUUCGUAUUUUUUCUCCGCAUUUUAUUACUUUAAAAAAUAUCUUAAUUUCUAAUUUUAUAAGUUUACAUUAUUUCAGUGCAUAAUGUUUGAAAUUUAUUAAUUUAGUGUGUUUUUUAAAUUAAGUUGGUGUAAGAAAAAAACCCUUAUCCCUGCCCUUUGCUCGUAUUAUUUUCCCAAUUUUUAUUACUUUCAAUAAAAAUAUUUUAUUUUCGUAUUUUAUUAUUUUAUAUUAUUCCAGUGCAUUUUGUUUGAAAUAUUUGUAUUAAUUAUUCCUGAAUUUUUAAAAAGUUAGUAAAAAACUCUUACUUCGGCCAUUUGUUUGUAUUUUUUUCUCCGCAUUUUUUUAUUAUAGAAAAUAUUAUAAUUUUUAAUUUUAUAAUUUUACAUUAUUUCAGUGCAUAAUGUUUGAAAUUUAUUAAUUUAGUGUGUUUUUUAAAUUAAUUUGGUGUAAGAAAAAAACCCUUAUCCCUGCCCUUUGCUCGUAUUAUUUUCCCGAUUUUUAUUACUUUCAAUAAAAAUAUUUUAUUUUCGAAUUUUAUUAUUUUAUAUUAUUCCAGUGCAUUUUGUUUGAAAUAUUUGUAUUAAUUAUCUCUGAAUUUUUUAAAAAGUUAGUAAAAAACUCUUAUUUCGACCAUUUGUUCGUAUUUUUUUAUCCGCAUUUUAUUAUUUUAAAAAAUAUCGUAAUUUUUAAUUUUAUCAUUUUACAUUAUUUCAGUGCAUUAUGUUUGAAAUUUAUUAAAUAUACAAUUUUUUUCGCAUUUUAUUACUUUCGGUAAAUGUACAAUUUCCGUUUCUUCUUUUCGUAUUUUAUGCUUUCUUAAAUAUAUUUUUUAUCAUUUUACUUUUAAUGCUAUUUUUCCUAAAAAAACUAAUUUCAAUAUCCUAAGUAAAUUUCAUAAAAAAAGUUCCUAAUCAACAUACAAUAUACAUACCAUGAAUUUUUUCAUGCUAAAUAUAUUUCAUAAAAUAUAUAUGCUAAAUAAAAUAAUAAAACACGUAUAUUAUACAUAACAUAAAUUUUUAACACACAAAUAUUACAAAAAAUUUAAUUUAAUAAUAAAAAUUACCUUUUUUUUCUUUUUUUUCCUUCCUUCCCUCUUCUUCUUUCUUUUUUUUUUCUCUUCUCUUCUCCUUUCUUUUCUUUCCUUCUUUUUCUUUCUUUUUUCUUCUUCUUCUUUCCUUUUCUUUCCUUCUUUUUCUUUCUUUCCUCUCCUGUCCUUUUCUUUCUUUCUUUCUUUCUUUCUUCUUCUUUCCCUCUCCUUCUCCCCCCCGAUGGGCCCUAUUAUAAGGGCAGUGCCGCCAAUCAGUUUGGCACCUUUGGUGCCGCCAAUCAGAACCCCUCCACCAGGGUUCUGUCAAAUCGGCGCAGCUUUUUUUUCUAUUUUUUUGUAUACUUUAGUUAAUAAAAAAAUAUAAUAUUUUGGAAUUUUUUAAUUUUUUUAUAAUAAUUUAAUAAAAAACUCGAUUAUUUUGUUAUAGUAGGUGAAGGAAAUCUUCAACAUGAUUAUUGGAACUGGUGCUUCAUUUGCUCAUUUUAUGAGGGGUAUGAAUUUUAGAGGGCAUGCAAAAAAGAAAAGGAAGAAGAAAGAAAGAAAAUUACAAAAAAAAAGAAGAAAAAGGAAAAAUUAUGACACCAUGCAUUUGGGGCUUUCAAAUCUUUACAAACAUAAGAGUAGUAGUUCUAACUAUCUUUCUUGAGGGUAACUUUUCUACGAAAAUAUCUAGGCAUGAGGUGAUAAAUGACCUUCUUUCACUGUCCCAUCACUUUAAGAAAUUAUCAUUUGUUGUCUUAUUUUGAGCUUCAUCGAAUUUUCUUACGAAUAAACUCAGUCCAUAGUUAGAUCAACUUGUAAAUAGAUCGAACACCAAUUUUAUAGUGAAAAUAUAGGAGAAAUUUCAAUCGAAGUUAAACUCCAGCAGUUGCCACUUAUCUAGUUUCAUAGAACUCGCCACUACGAUAAACAACUUCCAUCACGCAAAAAAGCUAAGGCAUGGUGGCUUCAGUCCAGUUUACAAGGGUAAUAACCAAUGGUGAUUUCCGGAAAAUACAUGAUCGAUGAAAUGACAUUCUCUUUCUACCAAGUCUUAUGAAUCGAAUUUUGUGUGAUGGGAACAUUAGAUGAUGGAAAGGAAAGAGCAUUUAAGAGAUUGUCAAAAGGUUCGGGGCAAGGGUUGGAAGGAUUUAUGAAUGAAGUGGUGGAGAUUUCAAAGCUCCGACAUCCAAAUCUGGUUAGGUUAUUUGGGUGCUGUGUUGACGGUGAAGAGAAGAUGCUGGUCUUUGAGUACAUGCCUAACAAAAGUUUGGACGCGUUUCUUUGAUUAUUAACUUAUUCUAAUUUUUCAGUAUUCAAUAGUUAUAUUGAACCUCAAUUAAAUUUAAAGUUAAAUUAAGUUCAACUUUAAAGGAGGGGCCAAGUUUUUCGAGAACUAUUAGAUUUUAAAUAUAAUUUUAAAAAAUGUUAGGCAAAGAAAAGCACUAACUUAUGACAUAAAGUAUAUUGUAAUUGGUAAGAGACUUUUUUUUUUCCCCUUAACAAGGCUCGAUCAAUGCUGAAAGAAUAAUCCAGAAAAUAAUUUUGAAAAAAAAAAGUAAUGUGCUUCAUUAGUCAAAGUUAUUCAAAUGAAAGAUUCUAAAUUCAUCGGUUUGACAAAAGCUACCUAUAUUAGUCAAAGUUAUUUAAAUGUCGUCUUGGUCUGUAACUUCUGGAAGUUCUAACCUCACAUAAAUUUUAUCAAUAGUUUUUAAUUACUAAAUUAAUUACGAAAAAUUAUCUAGUGAUUCAAUUUGCUCAUUCAAAAUGAAAUUUUUAUAAUUCCGUUAUUCAAUUUUUAGGGUGGUUUAUUUUAGUCACUAAAUUAUUAAAUUUUUAACGGUGGUUAACUGUACAUACUAUAUCAUAUUCACUUUUUUAUUUUGAUCACUUAAAUUCUAAAUCGUUUUCAUUUUGAUCAUUUAAAAAACAUAUUUUCCAAGUAUUGAUCGGCGUAAAAAUUGCUAAGGAGUAAAGUGAAAAAGUAGUAGAAACUAAAAUAAUACUUUAAAAAAUUUAAAUAACUUAUUUAAUUAAUUUUGAUGUUUUGAAAUUUAAAAUUUCAAUAUUAAAAAAAAUACAACUUACGCUAAGAGAUAAGUAAACACAAUUUGAUAAUUUUUAAAGUAUUACUUUUUUCACUUUAAUCUUUAAUUGUUUUUAAAUUGCUGCAAUGAAAAGUAAGAAUAAAAAAUAAAGAGGUGCUUAGCGCUCCAAGAAAUUUCAAAUCUUGAUGUAAUCAUUUGAAGAAAAUUGAGUUGAGUUAAUCUAGUGUAAAUCCUUAAAGAUUCCAAAUAUCAUUCAUAAAUCAUAGCGUCACUUCCAAGUUCUGGGUAGAGAUUAUGGGAAAAACUAUUAGCUGCUCUGUUGUACUAUCUUUAAUACCUUGCUUUUACUUGCUAUUUGCCACUGCUUUAGACACCAUAACACCAUCAAAAUCCAUCAAAGACCCUGAAUUUAUAAUCUCCCAGAAUGGUACUUUCCGAUUGGGAUUCUUCAGCUUGGCUAACUCCAACAAUCGUUAUGUAGGGAUAUUGUACCAUCAAAUCCCCGUACAAACUGUUGUAUGGGUGGCAAAUAGAAACAGGCCUCUCAAAGACUCUUCUGGGAUUCUCAACAUAUCAGAUGAUGGCAACCUUGUUGUUUUGAAUGGCAAAACUGAGAUUCUCUGGUCAUCAAAUGUUACCAAUACAGCUCCUAAUGGAACGACUGCCCACCUUUCAGACUUAGGAAACCUCGUCCUCAGUAAUGGUGACGAUGCAGGAAGCAGCUUAUGGGAGAGUUUUCAACACCCUUCUAAUGCCUUCAUUGAAAGUAUGGAGAUCAGCACUGAUGUUAAAAAGGGUCGAAAAGUGGAGAUCAAAUCAUGGAAUAGCCAUGAUGAUCCAUCUGAUGGUAACUUUUCUUUUGGUAUUGAACCGAUCAAUAUCCCAGAGUUUAUCAUUUGGAACAAUAACCAGCUCUAUUUUCGUAGUGGUCCAUGGAAUGGAAAUAUGUUUAUUGGCUUAAUACUUCCGACCGUCGCUUUCUCUUGGUUUUCUGUUGUUGCAGAUAAUCGACAACAAACGUUUUUUAUAGGUUAUGAAGAUUCUAAUCACUCUAUGUUGACAUACUGUGAAUUAGAUUCUCAAGGAAAAUUCAGUGAACGGAGAUGGGAUGCGGAGAAAGGGAACUGGAUAAAGAGUUACUCUAUUUAUCAUACAGAUUGUGAUGUUUAUGGGAAGUGUGGGGAAUUUGGGAUGUGCAAUUCAAAGAAACGACCCAUUUGCAGUUGCUUAAAGGGGUUUAAGCCUAGGAAUGCAGAGGAAUGGAGUAGAGGUAAUUGGAGUAGUGGGUGUUUUAGGACUACCCCUUUGCAGUGCCAAAGGGAUAACAACAAUGGGAGUGGAGCAGGCCAAGGUGAUGAUGUGUUUUUGGAGAUGAAGAUGAUGAAUGUGCCCGCAUUUCCAGACCGGUCAUCAAUAGUUAACGGCGAAUGCAAAGAUCAAUGCUUGAAGAAUUGUUCGUGCGUGGCUUAUGCGUAUGAUGCUGGCAUUGGUUGCAUGAUUUGGAGUGGAGAUUUGAUUGAUGUCAAGGAAUCCAGUCGCGGAGUCGAUCUUUACAUUCGUCUGCCAGCUUCGGAACUGGGUAAAUUUUCUUAGUGUCGACCAUGUGUUUGAUAAAUUGCGUUAAUAUCUGCUUUUUGAGUGUUGAAGUUAUUAACCAAGUUUUUCUAUUUGCAGAUAAAGGGAAAAGUAGUAAGGUCAUUGUCAUUACAACAGUAAUUGCGGGCAUAGUAGUUAUCACAAUUUCUGCACUCUUCUUACGGUGUAGGAUGCUUAAACAUAAAGGUAAUAUAUGAAAAAUAUUUAAACUUAUAUAUAAUUUAUUAAAAAAAUUAAAAAUUAGAAUAUAAAUUUAUAUGUGAAAAAUAUUUAAAAAUAUAGAUAAAUUUAAAACAUAUAUUAAAAUAUGUUGAUAUUGAUACAUACUGAUAUCUUUAUAUACCAUUGUCAAGACAAAAAUAAUAUGUCCACCAAUACGGUACUAACUACCUUGAUCUUCUCUCAGGAAGAAAUAAAAAGAGAAAACACAUCAAAUUUUGUAGUGAAAAUAUAGGAGAAAAUUCAAUUGGAGUUAAACUCCAGCAGUUGCCACUAUUCAAUUUCGAAGAACUUGCCACCGCGACAAAUAACUUCAAUCACGCAAAAAUGCUAGGGCAGGGUGGUUUCGGUCCAGUUUACAGGGUAAUAUAUAAUGGCGAUUUUCAGCAAAUUCAGUGUCAAUGAAAAGACAUUUUCCUUUUUUCUAUCAAGUCUUGCGAGUUGAAAUUUUUUUUGCAGGGAACAUUAGAUGAUGGAAAAGAAAUAGCAGUGAAGAGAUUGUCGAAAGCUUCGGGGCAAGGAUUGGAAGAAUUUAUGAAUGAAGUGGUGGUGAUCUCUAAGCUUCAAUAUCGAAAUCUGGUAAGACUGCUUGGCUGUUGUGUUGAAGGAGAAGAGAAGAUGCUCGCCUACGAAUAUAUGCCCAACAAAAGUUUGGACGCUCUUCUCUUUGGUUAGUAACUUAUUCCAAUCCUUUUUUACCUUUUUAUUUUUUGUGAUUUUCGCUAUUCAAUAGUUAUGAUGGACCCUAAACAAUGGGCAAAACUUUCCUAGAAUUAUUUUUUUCUUCCACAAGACUUGAACUUGUAUUGUUGCUUAAGGCGAAUUGAGUUCUUUAUCACUCGAUCUAAUAACCAUUAAUAUUGUUUUCGUUCUCAUUACAACUUAAACUUGGCCUUGACUACCCCAUUUACCUAAUCCGAUAAGUCCUACUCAUUUGAUUUGGCAGGUGCAAUCCAUAUAGGUUAGAUCUUGGAUAUAAUUUUCUUGAAAAGUUUUCAAAAAUAAAGAAACAUACUUUCCCAUUGAAAAAGUAAUAUUAUGUAAGGAAAAUAUUAUGUAUUUUUAUCGAAAAAUAAACUUCUAUUUUUUAAUUUUUUAAAGUUUUUUAAUUUUUAAGAAUCAAGACUAAAUUAACAAAAUGUGUAAAGUUAAGGGUUAAAUUGUUCAAUUUUUUUAAAUUUAGGACUAAAUUGAUAGAUUCUAUAAAUAUUGAAGAAUUAAAAUUGUUAUUAUGCCAAAAGAAAAAAAGUCACUAUUAGUGAUUUAACACAAGAGUGACCAAAAUAUUAAAUUUCGAUAACAUUAAAUAGAAACACACUAAUAAUUGAAUGACAAUUUUUAUAGCUUACCUUUAAAAUUCAAUAUUUAAAAAUUAAUUAAAUAUUAAAAUCACACAUAUGUCACACUAGAAGUUAGUAAUUAUAAAAUAUAGAAGUAUGAUUCUAAGUUUUUUUUAAGCAAUAAAAUUGGUCGCCUAGUUGAUUUUGUGCAAAAAGAGGAUAUGAAAAAUAGGUUAUGGCUUGGUCUAUAGACAUGUCUGAUGUAAUUAUAUUCUGAGAUUUGAAAGGCAGCAACGUAAUAUUUUGACUCUCUUCAUUGUUCAACAUUUAUUUCAAUUGAUUGACAUAACAUCAAUUCUGUCUACAAUCACAAUUAAUACAAUAUGGUAGACAAUACAACAAUGAUUGUAGUUUAGAUUCACUAUUAUAGAAAUUAACUAUAAAUCCAGCUAAACAUUAUUGAAGAAUUAAAUGUUUUGGAUUGGAGAAAACGAUUCAACAUUAUUGAAGGGAUUAGUCGAGGAUUGCUUUAUCUACAUAGAGAUUCAAGACUAAAGAUUAUACAUAGAGAUCUAAAAGCAAGUAAUAUUUUAUUCGAUGAAGAAUUAAACCCAAAAAUUUCAGAUUUUGGGAUGGCUAGGAUUUUCGGAGGCAAUGAAAAUCAAGCUAACACUAAAAGGGUUGUUGGAACUUAGUAAGUUGGAACUUUUUCCCUAUCAUUUAAUUUUAUUCUCUUUUUUUUUUGAUAAAAUAUGGUAUAGAUAUAUCUAUUGAUGGAUCAGGUCCGAUGCUUAAAAAGAUUACAUGCGUAGACCUAAACUUAGUUUGGCUUAGUUUGAUCAAUGAACUCAUUUUACCAUUUCUAAAAAUUAAAAUAAUAAAGAAUAUAUUAUUUUAUACUUUUAUUAUUUAAUUUUAAUUUAGACUGACUCAUGAACAAGUUUAGGUCAGGGUUGUAAUUAAUGUUUUUAUUGUUAAAAUACAGUGGUUAUAUGUCUCCUGAGUAUGUAAUGCGAGGGCAAUUUUCAGAGAAAUCAGAUGUAUUCAGUUUUGGAGUUCUAUUGCUAGAGGUUGUUAGCGGAAGAAGAAACACAAGCUUUUGCAACGAUCAGUAUGCACUUAGCCUCUUGGGAUAUGUAAGUUUAUAAGAUAAUUAGACAUGUUGGUAGAUCAAAUUAGGGUGUAAGAUGCCAUUUUUGCAAACUAUUCAGGUUCGAAUCAAGAAAACUUGAAUUCUACUAAGUAACUAUUGAGUUGAGCGAUCAUGAGCUGAACUUGAGAAUCUUAAUGCUUGAAUUGGGUAGCUUGAAAGGUGACAUGGAGAGUCCUAAUACUUGAAUUGAGUAUAAGCUCUCUUUUUUGCUUUAAAUAUAUAUUGAACAUUUUCAAUUGAAAUUCGAGUUUGACUACAAUAUCGAGUUUAAGUUGAGCCUAAGAAUGAAGCUCAAUUUAGACAUAGGUAAACAAGCUUAAGCAAUAAAUUUUGAGCAGUUGGAUCUUUAUUUAUGUUGAAUUGAGCUAAUCAAAAUUUAUUUAGACUUUGUGUUUAUAAUUUUGAGUUGAUUUAGGCUGAAAAGUUUAAGUGUUAAUUUAGACAAAUUUUCUUUUCUAUUCUCAGGCAUGGAAAUUGUGGAGGGAAGGCGAUAUUUGUGGCAUUGUAGAUAAAGUGAUUUUAGAGUCAGAAACAUAUUCAAAGAAUGGAAAUGAAAAAGAAAUAUGGAGAUGCAUACAUGUUGGUUUGCUAUGUGUUCAAGAAUUUGCUAAAGAUAGGCCCACUAUGCCUACAGUUGUUUCAAUGCUUAAUAGUGAAAUUUCAGAUCUUAGCACUCCAAAACAACCUGCUUUCAUUGAAGCACCACUAAUGAGUCAUGAUGUUGAAGAUAGGGUUUCACUUAAUGAUGUAACUCUUACAAACCUAGAUGGCCGAUAGAAAUACAAAUUAUUUAUUUGUAGUGUUUAGAAAUACAAUUUUAAAUUUUGUAUUUCAAGUAUUGAAAUUUAUCUUUUAUAUUCGACCUAUUUUUAUCAUUUUAUUUCUAUGAUAAUUGUAAUUUUAUUUGUACCAUUCUAGUGAAUUUACCAUUAUAUUUGAACAUGGCCAAAACUGAAAAUUCAUUUGAUGAAAUUCAAACUCGGUCCAAUUUAAUUUGAAUAUAAAAAAAAUCAACAAUUUAAACUUGUUAAAUCCAAACUUGAAAAUAAUUUAAAACUAAAAAUAAUUUAAAAUUAAAAUAAUUCAAACCCAAAUUUACCUAACCCAAAAAUCAAUGUGACGUGCUAGUUGAAUACAAUAUUCUAAUACAAAAUAGGUAGUGAUUAGUGCUUGAAGAAAAUUCAAAUCUUGAUGUAACACUACACCAAAACAGGCUUUUAGCGGCGUUUUUAGUGGCGCUUGGACAAAUAAUGGGGUCAAGGGGUCACCACUCGGUGUGGGAUUCUCGCCUUUUUAAUUAUGGAAGCUGGGAAGUAUGUACUUCUACCUAAACAUUUCUUAAUGAAUAGCUUGUUUAAAGAUUUUGGCUUCCUCCCUUCCAGUUGUAAAUAUUAUUUCUUAGUUGUUGCUUUAGGUACUGAGGUAUCUUCUUUCAUAUGCAAGAUGGUGGCUGGAGGAGUAUAAGUUUGAUGGGUACAGAUUUGAUGGUGUGACUUCAAUGAUGUACAAGAUUUCCUUGAUGAAGUAAAUGUAUUAUUUAUUUGAGUAAGAAAAUGCAUUGUAUGUUUUAUUACCUUGCAUAAGUAUUAUUUAUUUUAGUUUUGAUUCUAAAUUUUUAUUUUUACUUAAUAAUUCUAACUUUUGGAUUUUAAUUGUGUUAUUAAUGUAUUAUUUUAAAUUCUAAAUUUAAAUUCAUUAAUUUUUAUAUUUAGUUUUAAAGUUAAAAUUUUUGUAGAAAAUUUAAUUUAAAUAAUAUUUUUUAUUUAUCUUUAAAAUAUAAUUUAUCAUAGAAAUAAAUAUUAUUUAAAAAAUUAUUUUUUUAAAAGAUAUGUUUUUAGCGGCGUUUGUGGGAAAAGCGCCGCUAAAGGUCUUGAUCUAUAGCGGCGUUUGUGGGAAAAGCGCCACUAAAGGUCCUGAUCUAUAGCGGCGUUUGUGCGAAAAGCGCUGCUAAAGGUCCUGGUCUAUAGCGGCGUUUGUUGUAAAAGCGCCGCUAAAGGUCCUGCUCUAUAGCGGCGUUUGUGGAAAAGCGCCGCUAAAGGUCCUGAUCUAUAGCGGCGUUUGGGAAAAAGCGCCGCUAAAGGUCUUGAUCUAUAGCGGCGUUUAUUUCUAUAAACGUCGCGGCGUUGACAACAAUGGCGUUUUUUGCGGCGCUUUCAAAAACGCCGCAAAUACUUUUAGCGGCGUUUUAAAGACCUGUUUUGGUGUAAUGUAAACAUUUGCAGCUUCCUUGAAAUAUCAUUACAUCAUAUCAAAAAUAUAAGUUAAAAUUAUAAAGAUAUAAGUUGUUAAAAUGGUGAAAUUGCAUUUUAUCUGUCACAAAAAUAUAUAACUUAAUUCCAACACUUGGAAAAAUUUUCUGACUUCCCCCUGAUUAAACUUCUUAUCACGCAGUCCAACAUUUGUAACUAAACAAAUAAUAUUCUUAUUUGUAAGGUUCGUAUAACAAAGGGAUACAUAUCAAAAUUACACAUAAAAUUUGAUCUAAUAUGCAAUUUGAUACAUGAAUUUUGAUUUGAUGCAAUUGUACACAUCAAACUUUGAUUAUGAUUCAAAUGUAUACAUAAAACAUUUAAAGAAAUAAAUACAUUACUUUAUUUUUUGUAUUAGAUAAAUUAAAUUAUUUAUGUAUGUAAUAUAAAAUACAAAAUUAUGUUAUAUCGAUAAUUCUAUUAAUAAUUUAUAAAAUUUAAAUAAAAAAGAUUUCAUAUAUAAAAUCAUAAUUUUUUAGAUUUAUCCAUAUAGCAAACAACUCCAAGUUGUGGGACAUAUAAGCCAUGCAUGCGUCAUAUCAAACGUACAAAAAACUUCUAAAGAUAGGGAAAUACUAAGUCAAUGUGUCUUUGUGCUGAAAGAAUGUUGAAUUCAAUUAUAAUUCUACAAAUUAUGCACUUGUAAGUCCAUAAUAUAAAUAAAUGAACAUGAAAUUACUUUAUCAUGUCAUAUUCCAUGAUUUGCUGACAGGAUCUUUAUCUUCCACCUGCUUUUCCUGGCAAAUUAAGAAAGACCAACUUAAGCUCCAAGCAAGUCUAGUGGGUCCUUCUGUAUAGUAUUCUAAUACUUUAAAUUAUACAUUUAAUUGAUUUUAGUAGUUAAAUUUUAUUAUUAGAUUGAUUUUAUGUGUAAGUUGUAACUCUAUUCUUUAGAUUGAUUUUUUUUAAUCCUUAAGAUUUUUGGAUUUUAAAAUUCAAUCCUAACUCAAAAGGAACGACAGUAGUUAAAUUCAUUAAGUAAUAUAAUACCGUUUUUGUGAGUAUUAUUUGUAAAUAAAAAGCUAAUAUAGUAUCACACAUGAUAAUAUAUUUGUUGUAUAAUAUUUUAAAAAUAAUAAAUCUAACUGCUAUUGUACAAGCCCAAUUUUGAACCUGGGCCCAAGAACCCAAAACCAAUUAACGCACCUAGACUAAACCCAAAUCCGAAUGGCCCAAUUACAACACCCAAAACCCAAACAGAACCUGACCCAACUACCCAAUUACACCCACCAACCCAAUAAGCCCAAAAUCUAAAAGCCCAAUGCUCAUUUUCAGAAAAAACAAAUCAGCCUAGGGUUUUAGAAACUGAAACCCUAGCCCCUAACCAAGUGGCGCCGCACCCUACCCCUAGCCUCUGCCACCGCCACCAACGUCAUGCCACCACCGCCACGGUCACGUCACCACCACCACUUGCACCGUCACCUGCAAAGAAGAAACAAAACAAAGAAAAAGAUAGCAAAGAACACAAGCAGUAGAGAAUUGGUUAUAAAAGCCGAAUAUGUAACUCUUUUCUUUUUUCUUUUUAGCUAGCUAUCUAUGUAACACAAAAAAACAGAUAGUAGCAAAAAAAGAAAACGAAAAUAAACAGAUUCAAGGUGAUUUUGGCCAUUCUAUUUUUCUGUUUCUUUUUUUUCCCCUUUUUGCAAGUUUUUUUUUUAUUAUUCAUUUAGAUUUUAUCUCAUUUAAAACAAAAAAAAAGAGUGAGUGUACCUGGUGAAGGCCGCGACCUCGCCGUCGGGAGGGGUUUUCUUCUCCGUUGUCCGAUUUGGGCUUAGGGAGGAUUGAAAAUCCCUUUUCUUCGGUCCGGCGGGUUGAGAGAGCAUCGGCUCUCAAGGAUACCUCACAACGAAGGCUAGAAAGCCUUGUUUCGCAACGCCGGCCUUGGCUCGCGGCGACGGAGCGGUGGUGGACGGAGGGUUGAGAGAAAAAGUCAAGUAUUUGAAGUUUUUUUAAAAGAUGGUGGCUAAAUAAGGGUUAUUAGAAAUUUUUGUUUUAAAUAACCCUAUAAAACGGCGUCGUUUGGGCUUAAUGUUCAGAGACCAAAAACGGCGUCGUUUUGGUCUCUAACCCGCGCGGUGACUCGACCCUGGGGGAGGAUCUGCGUGUUUUCUUCAAAUGGGUUAUUUAUGCGCGUAGUCCCUCCUAUUUUUCAGCGCAUUACAAUUUGGUCCUAUUUCGUUGUUUUCUUUUAUUUUGAUCUAACCCUAAAAUUUUACUUUUGUUUCAUUUUAGUCCACUGAAGUGCUGCGUUUUAGAACUUUGGUUUAUUUACUAUGUUUGUCCCCCCUUUUUGGCGCGCGUCACAAUUUAAUCCUUUUUUUGUUUUUUAUUUCAAUUUCACCCAAUACAUUCGUUUUUAUUUCAAUUUAGUCCAUAUUCUAGUAUUCUUAUUAUUAUUAUUACCUACUUAUUUAUAUUUUUUAUUCAAAUCUCGAUAUAUAUAUACAUGUAUAUAUUUUUAUGAUAUAAAUACAUUAUUUUUUUAUAACUUAUAUAUACUUAUAUAUUUUUACAUAUUUUACAACUUAUAUACAUAUCUAUAUAUCUAUAUUUUUAUUUUCAUAAAUACAUAUACCUACUUAUAUACAAUCUUUAUAAUUUAAAACAUACCUUUUUAUAUACUUUUUUAAAUUCAUACAUACAUACAUAUAUAUAUUAUGUUAUUCACUACUAUUGUUUUAUUUGGUGUUAAUUUAUUUACUUAUUUACAUGCUCAUUAUCAUUAUUAUUUUAUUUAAGUGCUUUAAUUUUUUAUUUGUUUAUUUACUUUUAUUUUUUGAUUUCUUUUCAUUAUAUAUUUGCCAUAUUAUUUAUUUAUCUUUUCUUAUUUUGCUUGUGUUAUUUAUAUUAUCAUUAUCAUCAUUAUUUUACAUUUUACUCGGAUUUAUCAAAAAAAAAAAUUUUUUUCAAAUAAGGCAAUGUUUUUCAGAAAAAUGGGUGCUGGGUGUCGAUUUUUCUCGUUCAACCAAAUGGCUUAAUAUCCUUUUAAAAAUUUUAAACUAAGGCAAUGUUUUGCGUUUGGAAAUUCGAGAAAACAUGCCCUAAGGUGCUGGGUGUCGAUUUUUCUCGUUCAACCAAAUGGCUUAAUAUCCUUUUAAAAAAAUUUCAAAAUAUGACAAUAUUUUGCGUUUGAAAAUUCGAGAAAACAUGCCCUAAGGUGUUGGGUGUUGAUUUUUCUCAUUCAACCAAAUGGCUAAAUAUCCUUUUAAAAAUUUCAAAAUAAGGCAAUGUUUUGCAUUUGGAAAUUCGAGGAACAUGCCCUAAUGUGCUGGGUUUCGAUUUCUCGAUUGACCGAAUAGCCAAAUAUCCUCUUGAAUUUUCAAUCCAUAUCAUCCGAGUUUUUUUAAGGAUCGUAUUUUAAAUUUCUUUAAAGUUUUCAAUUUUUUGACACUAAGACAUUAAGUAAUUAACUAGAUACCAAUUUUGGGCGUAUCGAGGGUGCUAAUCCUUCCUCGUGCGUAACCGACUCCCGAACCCAUUUUUCUGAAUUUCGUGGAACAAACUUGUUAUUUUAAUAAAAUCAAAUCGUUUAUUAAAAACAACCACUUUUCGAGGUGAUCCGAUCACACCUCAUCAAAAAAAGAUUGGUGGCGACUCCCAUUUUCGUUUUCAUUUUCCAAAACCCAAGUUGACCCCGUUUUCAAUAAAAAAAUGGUGCCAAUAGCUAUCAUUUGAGUUACACAUAAUUUAAAGAAUUUAAUUAUUUUAUAAAUCAAAAUAGUAUCGGUGCCCCUAAUCCUAUGAUAAAAAAAAUUUAUAUUAAGGAGAAGUCUUAGGUUGGACAUCCUAUACCCUGAUUGUAUUUGUGUGAACAUGGUGGUACAAGAGUUGAUUUUUUGGUACUCCAAUGGAAGAAAGAGCCAACAAAAAUAUAGAAAAUAUAAUUGACACUUCCAGAAGAUUUUCGUAUGUCAAAAUGAGAUUACGUAUAUACAAAGAAAAUUGAGAUGUAGAUCACUAGAUGUAAACAUUUGAGGCUGCCAUGAAACAUCAUUACACCAUAUCAAAAUCAGACCCUAAGAAAGAGUCGAUUUCUGUAGAAGGUCCCUACCCUAUAUAUAUUGUGAAUUUAGUCCUUUCAUAUAAUUCGGUAUUUUUAAUCUCUCCCUUUUUUGGAAAUUACAAAUUCAAUUCAUAGAGAAGGACACCAAAAUUGGUUAUACAAAUCAAAAAACUUUUUUUUUAUGUCUAUGAGACUUUACCCGAAAUCUAAUUUAUUAUUAAUAUGCAGUGUAAGAUGUGAUUUAAGUUCAACUUUCUCACUAAAUUGUAACAUCUCGCUCCUAUGUAUCAAUAUAAGAUCAUUUUCUCCCACUAAGACUUUCCCUUGAAAUCUUAGCUUCAAACUGAAAAAAUUCAAUAUUCUAAUACAAUAUUUUAAAACAAUAUUCAUAAAUCAGACAUGCUAGAAGUAUUAAUUUCCACGAACAGUGUGACAUACUAGUUGAAUACAAUAUAUCGCUCCUAUGUAUCAAUAUAAGAUCAUUUUCCCUCACUAAAACUUUCCCUUGAAAUCUUAGCUUCAAACUAAAAAAAAUUCAAUAUUCUAAUAUAAUAUUCAUAAAUCAGGCAUGCUAGAAGUAUUAAUUUCCAUGAACAGGGUGACAUGCUAGUUGAAUGCAAUAUUCUAAUACAAAAUAGGUAGUGAUUAGUGCUUGAAGAAAAUUCAAAUCUUGACGUAAACAUUUGCAGCUGCCUUGAAAUAUCAUUACAUCAUAUCAAAAUCAGACUAUUUUUUUAACUGAAAAAAAUUGAGUUAAGUUAAAUAUCACUCAUAAAUCAUAGCGUCUCUUCCAAGUUUUGGGAAGAGAUUAUGGGAAAAACUAUUAGCUGCUCUAUUUUACUAGCUUUAAUAUCUUGCUUUUACUUACUAUUUCCACUGCUUCACACACUAUAACAGCAUCAAAAUCCAUCAAAGACCCUUAUUGGGAAUUAUCCAUAUUUAUGGAACAUCAAAGAUAUGGGUAUCAAAUAAUAGAAAGUCAAAGAUAUGGGUAUCAAAUAUUGGAAAGUCAAAUAUAUGGGUACCGAGAUAUUGGCAUAAUAAAAUCUGAGAUAUUUGCAAUAUAUGGUCCCUAAUUGUAAAGUGACUUUGCAAGUUGAUCCCUGAACCUCAACUAUAAAUAAGCAUGACCAUCUCUCAUUUUGUAUCUCAAACUUGCAAUUCUCUACUUAAGGCAUUGUUUUCUCUCUCUCUCUUUGUAAAUUCUCACUUGUAUUUUGGAGUGAAAUAUAUUUGGUAGUGCCCGAGGACGUAGGCAAAAUUUGCUGAACCUCGUUAAAUUCUUGUGUUCUUUAUUGUAUUAUUCUGCAUGAAUUGUGAGUGUGAUUGUAGUGAUUUAUUGUGCUAUUAAAUUAUGAUUGAAGGAUAUUCUGGAUAGGAAAGACCUGGUACUUAAGCGAUCCUUGUGAUCCACCUCUCUUUCCUGGGAAUUGAACUUAGUGUGAUUUUUUAGUACAAUAAUUUUACUCUUUUACACGCUUCCGCACAACAAUUGGUAUCAGAGCUAGAUUCGUACUUGGGGAAUACGAUCAUUCACGGCACUAUUCACGUACUGUAGUUGGGAUUGAGGAGAAAAAAUGGAAAAGGCAUCGUCAUCAACAAAGACUACUGUGACCAAUGUGAAAUUUGAAGUAGAAAAAUUUGAUGGUACCAAUAAUUUUGGUAUGUGGCAAUGUGAGAUCCUGGAUGUCUUAUGUCAGCAAGAGCUGGAUAUAGCCCUUGAAGAAAAACCUGACAAGAUGGAUGACAAGGAGUGGGCCAAGAUCAAUAGACAGGCAUGUGGAACAAUUCGCCUAUGUUUGGCCAAAGAGCAGAAGUACUCUGUCAUGAGGGAGACAUCAGCGAAGAAGUUGUGGGAUACACUGGAAGAAAAGUUUCUAACAAAAAGUCUUAAAAAUAGACUUUAUAUGAAAAAAAAACUUUAUCGAUUCACGUAUGCACCCGGUAUGUCGAUGAAUGACCAUGUGAACUCAUUCAAUAAAAUUUUAGCAGACUUGCUAAAUUUGGAUGAGAAAUUUGAAGAUGAAGACAAGGCAUUACUGUUGUUGAAUUCUCUUCCUAAUGAAUAUGAUCAUCUUACCACCACAUUGCUUCAUGGGAAGGAUACAAUCAUAUUUGAUGAAGUCUGUAGUGCGUUGUAUAGAUCUGAGACUCGAAAGAAAGAUAAAAACGAUCACAGAAAUACAACUACAGAAGUCUUAAUAGUAAGAGGUUGUUCGCGCAGCAACAAAUCUAGUAGAAGGAGUAAGUCCAAAGGGAGACCUGCCAAAGAUGAAUGUGCUUUUUGUCGUGAGAAAGGGCAUUGGAAAAAGAAUUGUCCUAAGUUACAAAAGGGUAGAGCUAUUUCUGAUGCAUGUAUAGCGGAGCAUGAUGAGGAGUCAGACUUUAGCUUGGUUGGCAUGGCAAUGGCAUGUCAUACAGAUGAGUGGAUUUUGGAUUUGGGAUGUACUUACCAUAUGUGUCCUAAUAAGGAUUGGUUUUCUAGUCUUAAAGAACUAGAAGGUGGAGUUGUUUUUAUGGGUAAUGAUAGCGCUUGUAAGACAAUGGGAGUAGGUACAAUCCAAUUGAAGAAUCAUGAUGGCUCAAUUCAAGUCUUGAUUGAUGUUCGCUACAUACCUAGCUUGAAGAAAAAUCUUAUCUCAUUAGGGGUCCUAGAAUCUAAAGGGCUCACAAUCACUGUGAGAGAUGGAUUACUAAAGGUAGUAGCUACGGUAUUGACGGUGAUGAAAGGCACAAGAAGGAAUAAUCUGUACUAUUUAAAUGGAAGUACAGUUAUUGGAUCAACAUCAACAGCUUCUAUGAAAUAUGCAGAUUCAGAGGCUACCAGGUUAUGGCAUAUGCGAUUGGGACAUGCUGGUGAAAAAGCUUUGCAGAGUUUGGCGAAGCAAGGCUUGUUGAAAUGUGCAAAUUCUUGCAAAUUGGAAUUCUGUGAACAUUGUGUUCUGGGCAAGCAGACGAGGAUAAAAUUUGGUUCAGCAAUUCACAAUACAAAAGGAAUUCUAGACUACGUUCACAGUGAUGUGUGGGGACCUACUAAAGUGGCUUCUUUGGGAGGUAUGCACUAUUUUGUUACUUUUUUUGAUGAUUAUUCAAAAAAAGUAUGAGUGUAUCUAAUGAAAAGGAAAAAUGAAGUUUUGGAUGUAUUUCUGAAAUAGAAGAGUAUGGUGGAGACCCAGAUUGGUCGAAAAGUCAAACGACUUCGAUCAGACAAUGGUACUGAGUACAAGAAUGAUUCAUUUCUACAAGUAUGUCACGAUGAAGGCAUUGUACGACACUUCACUGUUUGAGAUACACCACAACAGAAUGGGGUGGCAGAACAUAUGAAUCAGACUAUACUGGAGAAAGUUCGAUGUAUGUUGUCCAAUGCUGGAUUGGGCAAAUAAUUUUGGGCUGAGGUAGUUACAUAUGCGUGCCAUCUAAUUAACCGAUUACCAUCAGCUGCAAUAAAUGGAAAAACUCCUAUGGAGAGGUGGGCUGGUAAACCUGCUACUGAUUAUGAUUCUUUACAUGUUUUUGGUUCCACUGCAUAUUAUCAUGUAAAAGAAUCUAAGUUAGACCCAAAAGCAAAGAAAGCAUUAUUCAUGGGUAUUACUGGUGGAGUAAAAGGAUACCGUCUCUGGUGUCCUGAUACAAGGAAAAUUAUUUUCAGUAGAGAUGUGGCUUUUGAUGAAUCAACCAUGAUGAAGAACAAUGAUUCACUAAAGGAUAACACAACCAGUGGCACUUUGCAGCAGGUGGAGCUUGAAAAGGUUAAUGAUGAUCUAGCUAAUAUUUAAGGAACAAAUGAUGAUAAAGUUUCGACCCAAGAACUUCUACAGCAACAUGAUUCAAUUGCAUAUAGAAGGCCAAGAAGAGAGAUUCGUAUGCCUGCUCGCUUUGAUGAUAUGGUGGCCUAUGCACUUCCAAUGCAGAUGAUGAUGUUCCUUCUACUUACACAGAAGCAAGAAGUAACCCUGAUGGUGUAAAGUGGAAGCAAGCUAUGAAUGAAGAAAUGCAGUCUCUUCAUAAAAAUAGGACUUGGGAGUUGGUGACACUACCCAAAGGAAAGAAGGCAAUUGGAUGCAAAUGGGUAUAUGCAAAGAAGGAAGGAUUUCCUGAUAAAAAUGAAGUUCGAUACAAGGCUAGAUUGGUAGCAAAGGGUUACGCUCAGAAAGAAAGAAUAGACUACAAUGAAAUAUUUUCUCCAAUUGUAAAGCAUUCGUCUAUUCGGAUUUUGCUAGCCUUGGUUGUGCAAUAUGAUCUUGAACUAGUUCAGCUCGAUGUGAAGACCGCAUUUUUUACACAGUGAUUUGGAAGAGGAAAUCUAUAUGACUCAGCCAGAUGGAUUCAAGGUUGCUGAUAAAGAAAAUUGGGUUUGCAAACUGACAAAGUCGCUUUAUGGAUUGAAACAUUCUCCGAGGCAGUGGUACAAGCGAUUUGAUCAGUUCAUGAAAGGGCAAAGGUAUACAAGAAGUAAAUUUGAUCAUUGCGUGUAUUUUCAAAAGCUAUAAGAAGGAUUUUUCGUAUACUUGCUCUUAUAUGUUGAUGAUAUGUUGAUAGCAUCUAAGGGUAAAGUUGAAAUUGAGAGAUUGAAGACUCAACUCAACCUUGAGUUUGAGAUGAAAUAUCUAGGUGAAGCUAAGAAGAUCCUUGGCAUGGAAAUAUGUAAGGAUAGAGCUCAUGGCAGAGUUAGUUUGUCUCAGAAGCAAUAUUUAAAGAAGAUACUACAGAAGUUUGGCAUGAACGAGCAGACUAAAGCUGUAAGUACCCCGUUGGCUUCUCAUUUCAAGCUUUCUGCACAAUUAUCUCCUUCGACAAAUACGGAACAAGAAUACAUGUUACAAGUUCCGUAUUCUAAUGCAGCAGGUAGCUUGAUGUAUGCAAUGGUGUCUACAAGACCCGACAUUUCACAGGCAGUUAGUAUAGUGAGCAGGUAUAUGCAUAAUCCUGGAAAAGGACAUUGGCAAGCUGUGAAAUGGAUUCUACGGUAUAUUCAUAAGACCAUGGAUAUUGGAUUACUGUUCAAGCAGGAUACUACACUUGGUAAAGGUGUUGUUGGGUACGUUGAUUCUGAUUAUGCCGGUGAUUUGGACAAACGGAGAUCAACCACUGGUUAUGUGUUUACUCUUGUUGGAGGACCAAUAAGUUGGAAGUCUACACUGUAGUCUACAGUUGCGUUGUCAACCACAGAAGCUGAAUACAUGGCUGUAACAGAGGCUGUAAAGGAAGCUAUUUGGUUACAAUGUAUGGUUAAAACCUUGGGAUUGGUUCAGGAGCAUAUUAAUGUGUAUUGUGAUAGUCAAAGUGAUAUUCAUUUAGCAAAGAAUCAAGUCUAUCAUGCACGUACAAAGCAUAUCAACAUACGUUUCCAUUUUGUGCGGGAAAUUAUUGAUGAGGGGAAAAUUCACCUUCUGAAGAUUAAGACUGUAGAUAAUCCCGCAGAUAUGAUGACCAAGGUGGUAACAACAAUCAAGUUCAAACAUUGUUUGAACUUGAUCAAUAUUCUGCAUGUUUAACAGUUGAAGAAGGCACUAUCAAGUGUUGUUGACAAAGGCAGAGAGAAUUGUGUGAAGAUAAGAUUACUCGAAUCAAAUCUUCAAGGUGGAGAUUAUUGGGAAUUAUCCAUAUUUAUGGAAAAUCAAAGAUAUGGGUAUCAAAUAAUAGAAAGUCAAAGAUAUGGGUAUCAAAUAUUAGAAAGUCAAAUAUAUGGGUACCGAGAUAUUGGCAUAAUAAAAUCUGAGAUAUUUGCAAUAUAUGGUCCCUAAUUGUAAAGUGACUUUGCAAGUUGAUCCCUGAACCUCAACUAUAAAUAAGCAUGACCAUCUCUCAUUCUGUAUCUCAAACUUGCAAUUCUCUACUUAAGGCAUUGUUUUCUCUCUCUUUCUUUGUAAAUUCUCACUUGUAUUUUGGAGUGAAAUAUAUUUGGUAGUGCCCGAAGACGUAGGCAAAAUUUGCUGAACCUCGUUAAAUUCUUGUGUUCUUUAUUGUAUUAUUCUGCAUGAAUUGUGAGUGUGAUUGUAGUGAUUUAUUAUGCUAUUAAAUUACGAUUGAGGGAUAUUCUGGCUAGGAAAGACCUGGUACUUAAGCGAUCUUUGUGAUCCAUCUCUCUUUCCUGGGAAUUGAACUUAGUGUGAUUUUUUAGUACAAUAAUUUUACUCUUUUACACGCUUCCGCAUAAUCUCCCAGAAUGGUGUUUUCUGAUUGAGAUUCUUCAGCUUGGCUAACUCCAGCAAUCGUUAUGUAGGGAUAUUGUACCAUCAAAUCCACGUUCAAACUGUUGUUUGGGUGGCAAAUAGAAACAGGCCUCCCAAAGACUUUUCUGGGAUUCUCACCAUAUCAGAUGAUGGCAACCUUGUUGUUUCCAAUGGAAAAGCUUAGAUUAUUUGGUCAAAAAAUGUAACGAAUUUGGUUCCUAAUGCAACAACUGCAUAGCUUUUAGACUCCGGAAACCUUGUCCUCAAUAACGGUGAGAAUGGAGGAAGCAGCAUCUUAUGAGAGAGUUUUCAACACCCUUCUAAUGUAUUCCUUCAAACUAUAAAGAUCAGCACUGAUGUAAAAACGGGUCGUAAGGUGCAGACGAGAUCAUGGAAAAGCCCUGAUGAUCCAUCCGAUGGCAACUUUUUUCAAGGCAUUGAACCUUUCAGCAUCCCAGAGGGUGUCAUUUGGAACAAUAACCAGAUAUAUUUUCGGACCGGCCCAUGGAAUGGUCGUAUCUAUAUUGGUUUAAUAAAUGUUAAUAGAGUUGAUUUUGAUGGUUUUAUGUGGUUGCAGAUGAUGUAGAAUAAACUUAUUACGAAACUUACAAAUAUUCUACUGACUCUAGGUUGAUAUACUAUGAAUUAGAGUCUAACGGAAGAUACGUUGAACGAAUAUGGGAUGCGGGGAAAGGGGACUGGAUAAACGGGUACUCUAGUUAUCUAACAGAUUGUGAUGUUUAUGGGAAGUUUGGGGCAUUUGGAUUCUGUGAUUCAACGAAACGACCCAUUUGCAGUUGUUUGAAAGGAUUUAAGCCUAGGAAUAUAGAGGAAUGGAGUAGUGGGUUUUUUAGGACUACCCCUUUGCACUGCCAAAGAGAUAACAAAAAUGGAAGUGAAGCAGGCCAAGGAGAUGAUGGGUUUUUAAAGCUGAAGAAGAUAAAAGUACCGGCAUUUCCAGACCAGUCACCAAUAACUAACGGCGAAUGCAAAGAUCAAUGCAUGAAGAAUUGUUCGUGCGUCGCUUAUGAGUAUGAUGCUGGCAUUGGUUGCAUGUUAUGGAGUGGAGAUUUGAUUGAUGUCCAGAAAUUCUCUAAUCGGGGAGUCGACCUUUACAUUCGUCUGCCGUCUUCGGAACGUGGUAAACUUGUCUUCCAUAUCGACCAUGUGUGUGACGAAUUGCAUCAAUUAAUCUUCAUUUUUGGUUUAGAUGUUUUAUUAACCAUGUUUCUGGAUUUGCAGAUAAAAGGAAUAGUGAGAUAAUUGUUAUUACAACAGUAAAUUCAGGCAUGGUGGUGAUUAUAAUAAUUUCUGCACUCUUCUUAUUGCGUAGAAUGGGUCAACAAAUAGGUAAAAUGUACACCUUUAUUUAUUUAAUCUUUUUAGUCACUUUUUUUAAGAAAUAUGUAAAUUCUUUAAGAGUUCUCUUCGGGUAAAAUUGAAUUUAAAGGUAUUUUUUACUCGAUUUAAAUUCAAAUUUUAGAUAAAAUAAAAUAAAACUGAAAUAGAAUUGAGUCAAACUCGAAUACGGAGAAAAGCUCUAAACUUGAUUGAGUACUAUUGUAAAAGUUAAAAGACUGAAUUCAAGUGAAAUUAAAUUAUUUCAGUUUUGCUCGAUUAAGUUCGUUUAUAUAAAUUACAUAUUCGUAUUUGAUUUUAUAUAUAUAUUCGUUUAUAUAAAUUAUUUCAGAUAUACUUUUAUAUUUAAAUAAACUGGACCAUGUGUUAGAUAAAUUGGGUGAAUUAAUUUGCAAUUCUUUUGGGUCGAAGUUUCAUAAACCAAUUUUUUGGAUUUGCAGAUAAAGGGAAAAGUAGUAAGGUCGUCUUUGUUAUUACAACAGUAACUGUGGGCAAUUAUGUAGCCUUCAACUCAUUGCUUUUUUGAUUUCUAUCACAGGAAGGAAUAAAAGACGGACACAGAUCGAAGACAAAUUUCAUGGUGAAAAUAUAGGAGAAAGUUCAAUCGGUGUUAAUCUCCAGCAGCUUCCACUAUUCAAUUUCGAAGAACUUGCCACCGCGACCAACAACCAUCCCCAAAAAAAGCUAGGGCAGGGUGAUUUUGGUCCGGUUUACAAGGUAAUAUAUAAUAGCGAUUUUCGGUUGGUAGGAUAAUCAUCACCGGCCCAAAGCCGGAUUAUAAUGAGCUCGUAGGCCAGGCUCGUUAGUCGAGAAAUUUGUAAGAAAGCAAGUUCAACUUGCGAGUUCACUACAAUCUAACCCAAACCCAUUCAAAUUUUGAGCAGAUGAUGAUAAUUAUCCUAAAACCGGUGAAUCCAUGAGUCAAUGAAAUGACAUUUUUUUUUCAAUCUAAUUAUUGUAGUUUGAAUUUUGAGUGCAGGGAACAUUAGAUGAUGGAAAUGAAUCCACCAAAUUCCUUCAGAAAUAUGGCCUUCGGGAGAAUCAUCAGCACCAUGGGAUGUUCAAAGGAAUCCACCAACACCUUAUCAAAACCAGCUGAAGGAAGCCUUAAAUGAAUAUUGGUCCAACAUACCAGAUCCAAAAGAAUGGUCUCAAGAUUAUCCAAUGCAUUGCAGUCAGAUAAUCCAAGAUACACAUGAUGAAGGACCAAGUGUUUCACAAAUGACAAAACCUUCACCAAUUCCCAAAAGUAAUAAUGAUGAUGUGAUUCCACCAAAUGAUCUGGAAAGCAGGAUUGAAAAGCUAGAGCUUAGGUGUUACAGAGCCCGUGAAAAGAAAAGACAGAAAGUGGAAGAACUCAACAUCACCUCUGAUAUUGAUACAAACUAUGACACAGAUACAGAUACAGAUGUAUCAAUAAUAGAUAAGUUAAUGUAAAAGCAGAUUCCUCCUUAUCUGCUUAUGUCCUUUAUGUAUGAGUCAUGUCCUUUAUGUUUGUAAAAGCAGAUUCCUCCUUAUCUGCUUAUGUCCUUUAUGUAUGAGUCAUGUCCUUUAUGUUUGUAAAAGCAAAUUCCUCCUUAUCUGCUUACUUCUACUUUUCCCCUCUAUAUAAGCACGGGGAAGUCUCAGAUGUAAAAUAAGAACUUCCUUUGAAAUAAAACCCAAAAGAGUUUUUAUAAAUCUAUGGCUUUCUAAACCUCUUUCAUCUCUUCUUACUUGAAAAUAGAAUUUCUAUGAAAGAAAAUCUCUCAUUAGUUUAAGAGUAUGCUCUGUGCUUGCCAUACUCAUGGAUCCUGCACAUCAGAAAUUAAAUAUGAUAAAAGAUAUUAUUAAGUUCAGUUGAGUUUGAAGAAGGAAUUCAGUGAUUAAAGAGAUUAACAGCUAAAAGGCAGUGCCUUGUUGAUGGCCAGAAAAGAGAUGAAAGGCCUGUGUUUUGGCAUAGCAUACCUGCUGUUACUCAUCGUUAAUUGCUGAUCUCUAGCUUCUUACUCACCUACCCUCAAUUGGUUGGGACUUGGCAUAUUUACCUAUUUAGUCCUUUUAAAUUUUCUUUAAUCUAUAAUUAAACUUUUACCCUUGUUGCAAUUUAGCCCUUUUUAAUCAAUUAACCAUCGGAACAUUAAAAUUUCUUAACGAAACUUUAAUACUACCCUAAUGACACUCCAAAAAUAUUUAUAAAAAUAUUUACGACUCAAUUUAUAAUAUCGAGGUCUCGAUACCUCGUUUUUGACCCAAUUUUCCUAAUAAUUUCUUUUAAAUCACAAAAUUCGCUAAUUCAAAAAUAUUUCUAAAAUCACGCUGAACUUAUAAUUAUUAAUUAAUAAAUUUUUCUAACGUUUUCAUCAGAUUUAGUGAUCUCAAAUCACUAUUCUGACACUACUGAAAAUUGGGCUGUUACACUUUGACUUCUAAAAAUAUUGAAAUUUUGAUUUAGUCCUUUAAAAUUAUAAAGAUAUAAGUUAGUAAAAUAGUGAAAUUGCAUUUCAUCUCUCACAAAAAUAUAUAACUUAAUUCCAAUCCCUAGAAAAAUUUUCUGACUUCCUCUAAUUAAACUUCUUAUCACUCAAUCCAACAUCUGUAGCGAAGCAAAUAUCCUUAUUUGUAAGAUCCGUAUUUUUAAUCUCUCCGCUUUCUGGAAAUUACAAAUUCAAUUCAUAGAUAUGGAAACUAAAAUUGGUUAUACAAAUCAAAAAACCUUUUUACGUCUACGAGACUUUACCCAAAAUCUAAUUUAUUAUUAAUAUGCAGUGUAAGAUGUGAUUUAAGUUCAACUUUCUCACUAAAUUAUAACAUCGCUCCUAUGUAUUAAUAUAAGAUCAUUUUCCCCCACUAAGACUUUCCCAUGAAAUCUUAGCUUCAAACUGAAAAAAAUUUAAUAUUCUACAAUAUUCUAAUACAAUAUUCAUAAAUCAGACAUGCUAGAAGUAUUAAUUUCCAUGAACAGGGUGACAUGCUAAUUGAAUACAAUAUUCUAAUACAAAAUAGGUAGUGAUUAGUGCUUGAAGAAAAUUCAAAUCUUGAUCUAAACAUUUGCAGCUGCCUUGAAAUAUCAUUACAUCAUAUUAAAAUCAGACUAUUUUUUUAACUGAAAAAAAAUUGAGUUAAGUUAAAUAUCAUUCAUAAAUCAUAGCGUCUCUUCCAAGUUCUGGGAAGAGAUUAUGGGAAAAACUAUUAGCUGCUCUGUUUUACUAGCUUUAAUAUAUUGCUUUUACUUACUAUUUGCCACUGCUUCACACACUAUAACAGCAUCAAAAUCCAUCAAAGACCCUGAUGUUAUAAUCUCCCAGAAUGGUGUUUUCCGAUUGGGAUUCUUUGUUGGAGAAUAAAACGUGAGAGAGCUAAAAUAAUAUAUAGGAAAGUUACUCUCUUAUUAAUGAAUUCUAGAUGAGUAAAAACAAAGAAUAAGUGCCUAUAUUUAUAGGCUUACAUGGAAACUAACUUAACAUAAAAAUAGCUAACAAAUUAUUUGGUCAAGCUAAAAAAUCUGAAACUACCAAGAUUUUCUAAACAUCCCACUAAUAUGUUAUUUUGAAUUAUUCUCAACACUCCCCCUUAAUUCAAAGUUGCAGACACCAAGUAAACUUCUAAAAUAGCAAAACUUCUCUUUUGAUAAUGCUUUUGUUAACAUAUCUGCCAGCUGCUCUUCAGUGUUGCAAUAUUCCAAAGAUAUCUCCCCUUUUGCUACCAAAUCACGAAUGAAAUGAUAACAAAUAUCUAUGUGCUUUGUUCUACUAUGAAAUGUUGGAUUCUUUAUCAUGGAGAUCGUGGAUUUGUUGUCACAAACUAUGGUAGUUGCACAUUUCUGCUCUUAUUGGAGAUCGGUUAACAUUCUCCUUAGCCAAAUGGCUUGACAAGCUGUUGCAGUUGCUGCUACAUAUUCAGCCUCUGAGGUUGGCAAUACUGUUGUAGCUUGCUUCGUAGAACUCCAAGUGAUCACCCCAGAACCUAGAGUAAAAACAAAUAUUGAUACACUUCUUCUGUCAUCUAGAGAACUUGCCCAAUCACUAUCUGUGAACCCACACAAUCUGAAAUCUGAAGUUUUUGAGUACCAAAUGCCAUACUCCAAAGUUCCAGCAAUGUAUCGCAAUACUCGUUUUGCUGCUCCAUAAUGAACCUUUGAAGGUUGCUGCAUAAACCUGGAAAUAACACCAACAGAAAAUGCAAUAUCGGGUCUAGUGUGAGUCAAAUAGAUUAAACCUCCAACCAAGCUUCUAAACCUCCUUGCAUCUGUCAUUUCUUCUCCAUCCUCUUGCUGCAAUUUUUCAUUGAUAUUCAUGGGUGUAGCUGCAGGCUUGCAAUUAAGCAUACUAAAUUUACUGAGAAGAUCCUUGGCAUAUUUCCUUUGUGAGAUAAAAAUUCCAUCGUUAGCUUGAUGAAUUUCAAGACCGAGGAAAUAAUGCAAUAAACCCAUAUCGGAUAUCUCAAAUUCAUUCAUCAUUUGAGACUUAAAUUCAUCAACCAGUAAGUUAGAGAAACUAAUAUAAAUGAUUUCAUCAACCCACAGGUCCUAGGAUCGAAACCUGACUCUGAUACCAAAUUUGUUGGAGAAUAAAAUGUAAGAGAGAUAAAAUAAUAUGUAGAAAAGUUACUCUCUUAUUAAUGAAUUCUAGAUGAGUAAAAACAAAGAAUAAAUGCCUAUAUUUACAGGCUUACAUGGAAACUAACUUAACAUAAAAAUAGCUAACAAAUUAUUUGGUCAAUCUACAAAAUCUGAAACUACCAAGAUACUACCAAGAUUUUCUAAACAUCCCACUAAUAUGUUAUUUUGAAUUAUUCUCAACAUUCUUCAGCUUGGCUAACUCCAGCAAUCGUUAUGUAGGGAUAUUGUACCAUCAAAUCCCCCUACAAACUGUUGUAGGGUGGCAAAUAGAAACAGGCCUCUCAAAGACAUUUCUGGGAUUCUCACCAUAUCAGAUGAUGGCAACCUUGUUGUUUCCAAUGGAAAAGCUGAGAUUCUUUGGUCAACAAAUGUAACGAAUUUGGUUCCUAAUGCAACAACUGCACAGCUUUUAGACUCCGGAAACCUUGUCCUUAAUAACGGUGAGAAUGGAGGAAGCAGCAUCUUAUGGGAGAGUUUUCAACAUCCUUCUAAUGUAUUCCUUCAAACUAUGAAGAUCAGCACUGAUGUAAAAACAGGUCGUAAGGUGCAGACGAGAUCAGGGAAAAGCCCUGAUGACCCAUCUGAUGGCAACUUUGUUCAAGGCAUUGAACCUUUCAGCAUACCGGAGGGUGUCAUUUGGAACAAUAACCAUAUAUAUUUUCGGACCGGCCCAUGGAAUGGGUCGUAUCUAUAUUGGUUUAAUAAAUGUUAAUAGAGUUUAUUUUGAUGGGUUUUAUGUGGUUGCAGAUGAUGUAGAAAAAACUUAUUACGAAACUUACGAAUAUUCUACUGACUCUAGGGUGAUAUACUAUGAAUUAGAGUCUAACGGAAGAUACGUUGAACGAAUAUGGGAUGCGGCGAAAGGGAACUGGAUAAACGGGUACUCUAGUUAUCUAACAGAUUGUGAUGUUUAUGGAAAGUGUGGGGCAUUUGGAAUCUGCGAUUCAACGAAACGACCCAUUUGCAGUUGUUUGAAAGGAUUUAAGCCUAGGAAUAUAGAGGAAUGGAGUAGAGGUAAUUGGAGUAGUGGGUGUUUUAGGACUACCCCUUUGCACUGCCAAAGAGAUAACAACAAUGGAUGUGAAGCAGGCCAAGGAGAUGAUGGAUUUUUAAAGCUGAAGAAGAUGAAAGUGCCAGCAUUUCCAGACCAGUCAUCAAUAACUAACGGCGAAUGCAAAGAUCAAUGCAUGAAGAAUUGUUCGUGUGUGGCUUAUGCGUAUGAUGCUGGCAUUGGUUGCAUGUUAUGGAGUGGAGAUUUGAUUGAUGUCCAGAAAUUCUCUAAUCGGGGAGUCGAUCUUUACAUUCGUCUGACAUCUUCGGAACUUGGUAAACUUGUCUUCCAUAUCGACCAUGUGUGUGACGAAUUGCAUCAAUUAAUCUUCAUUUUUGGUAUAGAUGUUUUAUUAACCAUGUUUCUGGAUUUGCAGAUAAAUGGAAUUGUGAGAUAAUUGUUAUUACAACAGUAAUUUCAGGCAUGGUGGUGAUUAUAAUAAUUUCUGCACUCUUCUUAUUGCGUAGAAUGGGUCAACAAAGAGGUAAAAUGUCCAUCUUUAUUUAUUUAAUCUUUGUAGUCACUUUCUUUUAAGAAAUAUGUAAAUUCUUUAAGAGUUCUCUUCGGGUAAAAUUGAAUUUAAAGGUAUUUUUUACUCGAUUUAAAUUCAAAUUUUAGAUAAAAUAAAAUAAAAUUGAAACAUAAUUGAGUCGCACUCGAAUACGGAGAAAAGCUCUAAACUUGAUUGAGUACUAUUGUAAAAGUUCAAGGUCGAAUGCAAGUGAAAUUAAAUUAUUCAGUUUUGCUCCAUUAAUUUCGUUUCAAUAUGUUACAUAUUCGUAUUUGAUUUUAUAUAUAUAUUCAAGGUUGAAUUCGCACUAAUUUCAGAUAUACUUUUAUAUUUAAAUAAAGUGGACCAUGUGUUAGAUAAAUUGGGUGAAUUAAUUUGCAAUUCUUUUGGGUCGAAGUUUCAUAAACCAAGUUUCUGGAUUUGCUGAUAAAGGGGAAAGUAGUAAGGUCGUCUUUGUUAUUACAACAGUAACUGUGGGCAAUUAUGCAGCCUUCAACUCAUUGCUUCUUUGAUUUCCAUCACAAGAAGGAAUAAAAGACGGACACAUAUCAAAGACAAAUUUCAUAGUGAAAAUAUAGGAGAAAGUUCAAUAGGUGUUAAACUCCAGCAGCUGCCACUAUUCAAUUUCGAAGAAUUUGCCACCGCGACCAACAACUUCCAUCCCGAAAAAAAGCUAGGGCAGGGUGGUUUUGGUCCGGUUUACAAGGUAAUAUACAAUAGCGAUUUCCGGUUGUUAGGAUAAUCAUCACCGGCCCAAAGCCGGAUUAUAAUGAGCUCGUAGGCCAGGCUCGUUAGUUGAGAACUUUGUAGGAAAGCAAGUUCAACUUGCGAGCUCACUACAAUCUGACUCAAAUCCAUUCGAAUUUUAAGCCGAUGAUGAUAAUUAUCCUAAAACCGGUGAAUCCAGAGUCAAUGAAAUGACAUUUUUUUUCAAUCAAGUAUUGUAGUCUGACUUUUGAGUGCAGGGAACAUUAGAUGAUGGAAAGGAAAUAGCAGUGAAGAGAUUGUCGAAAGCUUCAGGGCAAGGUUUGGAAGAAUUUAUGAACGAAGUGGCGGUUAUUUCUAAGCUCCAACAUCGAAAUCUGGUAAAAUUGUUUGGGUGUUGUGUUGAAGCAGAAGAGAAGAUGCUCGUCUACGAGUUUAUGCCCAACAAAAGUUUGGACGCUUUUCUAUUCGGUUAGUAAUUUAUUCAAAUUUUAUAUUAUAUUUUCGGUCUCUAAUCAAAUUCAUAAUUCAGUUGAAUAGGAUCCCUUAAACAAUAAUGUUUUUUUCCAUUCACAAAAUUUAAAUUUAGGUGUAGUGAUAUUUUGAUUCACUUCGCCGUUUAAUAUUUAUUUCAAUUUAUUGACAUAACUUCAAUUAUGUCUACAAUCAUAAUGAAUACAAUAUGGUAGAAAUACUAUGACGGUUGUAGUUUAGAUCCUCAAUUAUAGGAAUUCAUUAUUAAUUUAGUAGGUUUUUAUGUUUAAAUUUUGUUAUAGAUCCCAUUAAACAAAAACUCUUGGAUUGGAGAAACGUUUUAAUAUUAUUGAAGGGAUCAGUCGAGGAUUGCUUUAUCUUUAUAGAGAUUCAAGAUUGAAAAUUAUACACAGAGAUCUAAAAGCAAGUAAUCUUUUACUUGACCAAGAGCUAAACCCAAAGAUUUCAGAUUUUGGGAUAGCCAGGAUCUUUGGAGGUGACGAAAAUCAAGCCAACACUAAAAGGGUUGUCGGAACUUAGUAAGUUGGAACUUCCUUCUUACCAUUUCUUUUUAUGCUCUUUUUAAUAAAAUAUGGUAUAAAUAUGUCUAUGGUCGGAUUUGAUGCUUAAAGAUGAUACAUGUCCAUGCUUGUAUCGAGUUUAAUUUUGUUCAAUUUGUGGACUCAAUUUAUUGUUUUUAAUUUUAUAAAUAAAAUAUUAAAAAUAUAUUUUUAUAUUUUUAUAGUUAACUUUAAAUUAUUUAUUAUUUAUUCUUAAUUCAAGUUGGCUUGUGGACAGGUUUAAAUAAGAGCUGUAAUUGGUGUUGUUUUUUAUGUUAAAAUACAGUGGUUAUAUGUCUCAUGAGUACGCAAUGCAUGGGCGAUUUUUAGAGAAAUCUAACAUGUUCAGUUAUGAAGUUCUACUACUGGAGAUUGUUAGUGGAAGAAGAAACACAAGCUUUUACAACAAGGAUGACCUUAGCCUCUUGGGAUAUGUAAGUUUAUAAGAUAGUUAGAGAUGUUGGUGGAUGGAAUUAGGGUGUAAGAUUUUGUAUUUGCGAGCUAUUCGAGUUCGGUUUGAGAAAACUUGAAUUUGGCUCAGUAAUUAUUGAGUCAAGCAAUCCUGUGAGUUGAAUUUGAGAAUCUUAUUACUUGAAUCGAGUAGCUCACAAGUGAAUUUCAAAAACCCUAAUACUUGAAUUGAGUAGCUUGCAAGGCUUUUCAAUCUUAAUCAAUAUUGAAAAUUUUCAGAUUAAACUCGAGCUUAAUUACAAAUAAUCAAGCUUGAAGUUAUGCAUAGGAGUGAAGCUCAUUGUAGACUUAGGCAAAACAAGCAGAGUUAAAACACUUCAAUUAACUCUAUUAAAGCUUUAAGAUUGAAAAUUUGAGUCAAGUUAAGCCUGGCCUGGCCCGGCCCGAAUAUAAUAAUUUUUUUUUAUUUUCAAAAAUAUUUUUAAAAUACUUUUUUUUAAUUUUUUUUAUUUUUAAAAUACUUUUUUAUUUUUUAAAUUUUCUUUUUGGUGUUUAUUUAAAAAAUGGGUCGGGCCGGGCUCGGGCCUAUGAUUUUUUUCCUUGGGCCGGGCUUGGACAAAAUUUUAGGCCCAUAUUUCGGGCCAAAAUUUUUUCUUGGCCCGGCCCGGCCCAUGAGCAGCUCUAGCCUAUAAGUAUUGAUUUCCAUGAACAAGGUGACAUGCUAGUUGAAUACAAUAUUCUAAUACAAAAUAGGUAGUGAUUAGUACUUGAAGAAAAUUCAAAUCUUGAUGUAAAAAUUUGCAGCUGCCUUGAAAUAUCAUUACAUCAUAUCAAAAUCAGACAGUUUUUUUAACUGAAAAAAAAUUGAGUUGAGUUAAAUAUCAUUCAUAAAUCAUAGCGUCUCUUCCAAGUUAUGGGAAGAGAUUAUGGGAAAAACUAUUAGCUGCUCUGUUUUACUAGCUUUAAUAUCUUGCUUUUACUUACUAUUUGCCACUGCUUUAGACACAACAACACCAUCAAAAUCCAUCAAAGACCCUGAAGUUCUAAUCUCUCAGAAUGGUGUUUUUCGAUUACAAUGGUUAGAUAUCUCCUGAGUAUGCAUUGCAAGGGCAAUUUUUAGAAUAAUCAGAUGCAUUCAGCUUUGGAGUUGUAUUGCUUGAGAUUGUUAGAGGAAGAAAAAGCACAAGCUUAUUGAUCUUAGCCUCUUGGGAUAUGUAAGUUUAUAAGAUAAUUUUUUUAUAUAUUGUAGCGACCUAAAAAAAUUUACGCGGGUGCUAGUCGAGGUGAUUAUUGAAAAUUUGAAAGCAGAGUUUCAAUUUAUUUAAAAAAAGGGAGUCGCCACCGAUCUUUUUUCCUACGUGUGAUCGAACACCUAAUAAAUUCUCUUUUUAGAAGAAAAUUUUAAUUUUUUUAAAGUUUUCUAAAAAAAGAGGUAAUUUUAGGUCUACGUGAAAAUCGAGAGAAAAUUAGAGUUCGGGAGUCAGUUAUGCGCGAGGAAGGUAUUAGCACCCUCGCGACGCCCAAAAUUGGUAUCUCGUUAAACGCGCGUUAUCUUAAUUUUCAAAAUAUAAGUUCAAUUUAAUAAUUAAUUGCGAUCCAAUCAAAAUACGAAAUUUAAAAAAAAACACGAAGAUUUUUGAAACAAUUAUUUUCUUUGAAAAACUUGAAAAAUUUUUAAAACACGAGAACUUUAGAGACACAAAAAUUAUUAAAACACGAAAAUUUUUGAAAACACGACAAUUUUGAAACACGCGAAUUUUUUUUUGAAAACCCGAUUUUUUUUUGAAACGCGAAAAUUUGUGAAACACGAGAUUGUUGAAAACACGCAAAUUUUUGAAAACACGAAAAUUUUUGAAACACGAAAAUUUUUGAAAACACGAGAAUUUUUUGAAAACGUGAAAAUUUUUGAAACACCGAAUUUUUUUUAAACACAAUUUUUUUGAUUUUUUAUUAAGCACGUAUCGUAUUUAACACGGACUGAUGAUAUUCACUCAACAUAGCAAUGAAAUCAACGAAUUAGUGUCAAAUCGAUUCGUUGCCUUAUUAUUAUUUUUUUGAAAACGCGAAUAUUUUUUUAAACACGAGAAUUUUUUUUUUGAAGACACGAAAAUUUCGAAGCACGAGAUUUUUUUUUUAAACAUGAAUUUUUUGAAUAUUUACAAUUUUUAAAAGGGCGUAUCGUAUUUAACAUAAACUGGUGAUAUUCACCCAACAUAGCGAUGAAAUCGACAAUUUAAUGUUAAAUCGAUUCGUUGCCUCAUUUAUUAAAAAUAUUAAAAAUAAAAUCAAAUUGAAUUUAAAUUUAAAUUAAAUUAAAUUGAAUUAAAAUUAAAUUAAAUUAAAUUAAAAAAAUAUAAAUACAAAAAAUAUAAAAAUGCAUAAAUUACUAAUAACAUUAAAAUGAAAUAGCAUAAAAAUACGAACAUUAAAUUAAAAGUGAAAUAAACAAAAUUACCGAAAAGAUCCGAAACACGAGCUUGGUCGAACAGGUUACGCAAAUUGAACCUUUUUUUCUUUUUUCCUCUUUUUCUUUUUCUUUCUUUUUUUUCUUUCAUUCUCUUUCUUUUUUUUGUUGGGCCGGCCUGCUGGGCCUGCACACUUGCUGGCUGCUGUUGGGCUGCCUGCUGGAUUGGGCCUGCUGGAUUGGGUCAAGCCUGUGCUACUAGGCCUUUUUUUCUGCUUUUUUUGUUUUUUUUGGGCUGAUUCUUGGGCUAGGGCCUGCGCUGGAAUGGCCUGCUGCUUGGUGGUGCCGGGUAAGGUCACGGGUCGGGUCAAUUAGACUCGGCUGCUUUAUUAUUAUUUUUUAUUUUUUUCUCUUUUUCUUCUUUCUCUUCUUCUUCCCCUCCCUUCUUCUUCCUUCUUCCUCUUCCGGUUCUCCUAGCCCUCUUCAACGUCGCCGCUGUCCUCUUGGCCGACGGUGACUGUCGGCAUACUUUUCGCUCUCCUCUUCCCCUUUUCUUUUUCCUUCUCUUCUUUUUCUUUUUUUUCGAAAAUUCGAAGACCCAAGGCGUUGCUUUGGUCCUCCACUUGCGCUCCGUCGCUCUCGUCUGCCUCCGGUGGUUGUGAGAAAGAAAUUAAAACUUUUUUUGAAGUUUCUUCACCGUUUUUUUCAUUUUUGCUGCUGAUUUUUUUUCUCUUGUUGUUUUUUUUCUUUCUCUUUUUCUCCUCUUUUUUUCUUUUGGGGGUUUGAAAUCCCCUUUUAAAUUUGAUGUUUUUUCUUCCUUUUUGCAGGUAGCAAGUGGGCUAGGGAGGGCCUAGGUCGGCUGCCGCCUGUUGCAGGCGCAACUUGCGUUGAUGGUUGCCAGAGGGACCAAAAUGUAAUGGCAGCAAAAUUUUUGGUGUCAAAACAUAAUUUUAAGAAAGUUUAAGGGUCAAGAUGUAAUUUCAAAAUCUUUAGGGGUUGAAAUGUAAUUUUGAAAAAAUUUAGGGGUUAAAAUAUAAUUUUAUAAAAGUUUAGGGGUCAAAAUGUAAUUUUUUUAAACACAAAAUUAUUCCAGGACAAAAUUCAGUGAUUACAGCUGCUCCUCUUUGCUCAUCGCUGUGAAACAGGGAUAGAGCAAAGACUUAAAAGCACUGAAUUUUGUUCGACCAUCCAAAAUUUUUCUUUUUAUUUGAAAAGCAGAAAUCGAGAAUAGCUUGGCGUGCGAGUCAAAGCUCAACUCACCUCGAAUUAUGAGUUGAUUUUUUGAAAAACAGAAAUUGAAAAGAAUACCUCGGCAUGCGACUCGAGGCUCAACUCACCUCUCGCAAUAUGAGUUGAUUUUGAUUUUUGAAAAAUAGAAAUUUAAAAGAAAUAUCUCGGCGUGUGCCCGAGGCUCAACUCACCUCUCGCAAUAUGAGUUGAUUUUUGAAAAAUAGAAAUUGAAAAAUACCUCAGCGUGACCCGAGGCUCAACUCACCUCUCGCAAUAUGAGUUGAUUUUUUAAAAACAGAAAUUGAAAAAUACCUAGACGUGUGCCCGAGGCUCAACUCACCUCUCGCAAUAUGAGUUGAUUUUGAUUUUUGUUUUUUGAAAAACAGAAUUUUAAAAGAAAUACCUCGGUGUGUGCCCGAGGCUCAACUCACUUCUCGCAAUAUGAGUUAAUUUUUGAAAAGCAAAAAUUGAAAAAUACCUCAGCGUGACCCGAGGCUCAACUCACCUCUCGCAAUAUGAGUUGAUUUUUUAAAAACAAAAAUUGAAAAAUACCUCGGCGUGUGCCCGAGGCUCAACUCACCUCUCGCAAUAUGAGUUGAUUUUGAUUUUUGUUUUUUGAAAAGCAUAAAUUUAAAAGAAAUACCUCGGCAUGUGCCCGAGGCUCAACUCACCUCUCGCAAUAUGAGUUGAUUUUUGAAAAACAGAAAUUGAAAAAUACCUCAGCGUGACCCGAGGCUCAACUCACCUCUCACAAUAUGAGUUGAUUCUUUUUAAAAUAGAAAUUAAAAAAUACAUCGGCGUGUGCUCGAGGCUCAACUCACCUCUCGCAAUAUGAGUUGAUUUUUGAAAAACAUAAAUGUACAAGAAAUACCUCGGCAUGUGACCUGAGGCUCAACUCACCUCUCACAAUAUGAGUUGAUUUUUUUUUUUGAAAAAACAGAAAUUGAAAAAAUAAUUUUUGAAAGAAACAGGGUUUCAAAAAACAUCGAGUAAAACUAAAAGCCUCCUUUUCAUUGAUUCAGUGCAGACUUCUCCCAAAAUUCCCUGCUCUGUUGGGAUGCAUGUAUAUGUCAUGUAUGAUGUUAUCAUGAUAUGCACGUGUUUGUCCUAAAUGCUUUUAUGCCUACAUGAUCAUGCCAUGCACUUUGAACUAUUUGUCACAUGCCCCUUCUUCGUAAGGGACUGCAUUCAUCGCCUCAAUCAUCAAUUUUUCUCUCCGAUUUUGUACUCAUCUUUGAAUUUUUCGGGUGACCCACAUUUUCAUAUUUCCCCUUCUUGCCUCAUUGUUGAACUUGGUUCUUGUUUUGGGGCCCUUGUACAUGUCAAAUUCUCAUCUAGGUAAUGCCCAACAUUCCUUUCGUUUAGAGUAUGUCAUCUUACCAUUUAUCAGUUAAAUGAAUCAAACACGAGAUGCAUGAAAAAUGGCAAAGUAGGCAUGAAAGAAAUACCUCAUAUUCAAAUUAUUUCAAAACCAACAAAGAAAAUUGACAAGGAAAAGCUCAAUAAAGAAAGCAUCACAAAGAAAGGAAACUGAAUCUAAUAGCUACAAAAUGCUUUAGAUAUCCAACGCAUGAACUUCUCCACGUUUCUUCGUCCUGGAUCUUUUUCGAGCACAGCUUCUCGUGUAAAAGAUUUCAAGCUUCUGAGAAUAAUUCAAAUAUUACAACCUUUCCAGUUGACUCCCUGUUUAAGUCGUCUUGCUCCUUAAGUCUGAAUCUGCUCCAUUAGGACGCCCUUUCGGGUUUUCAUCCUAAUCAUUUGUUUAUCAAGACGCUCUUUUCAGGUUUUCAUCUUUAUUUUUCUUUUUCUUUUCUUUUUUUUCUUUUUUUUUGUUUUUUUUGUUUUUUUGUUUUUUUAGGCAUAAUAUUUCUUCACAGCAUCUAAGUUCACUGGAUUAGGUAAUUCUUUCCCAUCCAUCUCAGUGAGAAUCAGAGCCCCUCCAGAGAAUGCCUUUUUUACAACGUAUGGCCCCUCCCAAUUUGGCGACCAUUUUCCUUGAAAGUCUCUUUGUAUCGGGAGGAUUUUUUUAGUACCAGUUCCCUUUCGCGGAAUUCUCUUGGCCGCACCUUUUUAUCAUGGGCCGUGAUCAUUCUUUUCUAAUAUAUCUGUCCAUGACAAAUUGCCUUCAAGUGUUUCCCUUCAAUAAGGUUUAGUUGAUCAUAUCAAGCUCAAACCCACUCUGAUUCUUCUAACUUUGUCUCAAUCAAGACGCGCAGGGAUGGGAUCUCUAUUUCGAUAGGCAGAACGCCUCCAUCCUGUAGACCAGAGAAAAAGGAGUUGCCCCCGUAGACGUCCGUACAGAGGUGCGAUAUGGGUACAAAGCAAACGGUAGCUUCUCGUACCAAUCUUUAUAUGUCUCAAUCAUCUUCCCGAUAAUCCUCUUAAUGUUUUUGUUGGCCGCUUCGACAGCUCCGUUCAUUUUUGGGUGAUAGGGUGAGGAAUUAUGAUGCUUUAUCUGGAAUUGCUCACACACUUCUUUCAUUAUCUUGUUGUUUAAAUUCAAAGCAUUAUCUGAAAUGAUUCUCUAUGGCAAACCAUAUCGACAUAUGAUCUCCUUUUUUAGGAACCUGCAGACUGCGAUCUUCAUCACAUUAGCAAACGAACUGACUUCUACCCAUUUUGUAAAGUAAUCUAUAACCACAAAGAUGAACCGGUGUCCAUUAGAAGCCUUCGGGGAAAUUAGCUCUAUGACAUCCAUGCCCCACAUAGAAAAAGGCCACUGAAAAGUCAUGACAUGAAGGGGCGAGGGAGCUGCAUGAAUUUUAUCACCGUAAAUUUGACACUUAUGACACUUUUGUGCGUAUCCAAUGCAAUCCCUUUCCAUUGUCAGCCAAAAAUAACCAAGUCUCAUAAUCUGCCUAGCCGUAGUAGACCCAUUGGCAUGCGUUUCACAAAUUCCUUCGUGGACAUCUUUAAGUAUUCUUCUGGCUUCAACAUUGUCCACGCAUCUCAGGAGCAUUUAAUCCUUUCCUCUUUUGUAUAGGAUAUCCCCAUCAAGAACAAAAUCAGCCGCCAUUCUUCUGAUUGUUCUUUUGCCAUUCUCGUUUGCUUGCUCGAGAUACCUUUGAUUCUUAACGUACUCUAAGAUGUCAUGAAACCACGAUCGUCCAUCUGACUCAUUCUCAAUGCUAAAAUAGUGUGCGGGGACAUCAUAUAUGCUCAUUUGGAAAGGCAUUAUUUCAGUUUCUCUAUUUGCUUUGAACAUUGAAGCCAAUGUGGCCAAGGCGUCAGCCAAUUGGUUUUCCUCUCGUGGGAAGUAUUGAAAAGUCACUUCUUUGAAUUCUUUGACCAAUUCCUCCACGAAAUCGCGAUACUUGACUAAUUUUGAAUCUCUCACUUCCCAAUCUCCGUGAAUUUGAUAAAUCACUAACGUUGAGUCUCCAUACACCUCUAAGAUUUCUAUUUUCCGUUCAAUAGCUGCAUGAAGUCCCAUGAUGCAAGCUUCAUAUUCUGUUAUGUUAUUAGUACAGAAGAAAUUCAAUCUGGCAGUGAGCAGGUAAUGGUUUCCUUCCGGUGACACUAAGACUGCUCCUAUCCCGUGCCCCAACGCGUUCGAUGCACCAUCAAAACUCAUCUUCCAUGAUUGAUCUUUUAAUGAGUCACCUUCGAAAAUACACAUCAAGUCUUCAUCCAGGAAGUCAAAUCUCAACGGCUCAUAUUCCUCCAUUGCUCGACUUACCAAGAAGUCAGCUAUUGCGCUUCCCUUUUUCAACUUUUGGCUCACAUACACAAUGUCAUUCUCCCUGAGAGUGCGGGUGAUUCCAUCAAAUACUUUAAUAGAUCUAGCUUUGAAAUUAACCACGUUGUAUGAUACAACAUGUAUUGUCUGAGCUUUCAAACUACCCAGACCAAUGUACAGUAGAAUUUUUCAAUUGACGGGUACUUUGCCUCAUAUUCUGUGAACUUUUUGCUGAGGUAGUAAAUCACUUUUUCUUUUUUCCCUGACUCAUCACACUGCGCCAGUACGCAACCCAUUGAGUUUUCAAACAUGGUUAGGUACAAUAUUAAGGGUUUUCCAGGGGUCGGCGGCACUAGCACCGGAGGAUUAGACAGAUAUUGUUUUAUCUUGUCGAAGGCUACUUGGCACUCCUCAUUCCACUCUCCGGAAUUAUGUUUUCGAAGGAGUUAAAAAAUUGGAUCACAUUGGUUGGUAAGUUGAGAAAUGAAUCUAGCAAUGUAAUUCAACCUUCUUAAAAAUCCUCUGACUUCUUUUUGUGUACGCGGAGGUGGCAGUUCUUGUUUGGCCUUUAUAUUGUCUAGAUCAACCUCAAUACCUCUCUCGCUGAUAAUGAAACCUAGAAAUUUUCCCGAGGUUGCCCCGAAUGUACACUUUUCUGGGUUAAGCUUCAACUGAAACUUUUUUAAUCUUUCGAACAGCUUCCUGAGGUUCCCGACAUGCUCCUCUUCUCUUCAGGACUUGGGAAUCAUAUCAUCGACAUAAACUUCUAUUUCUUUGUGCAUCAUGUCAUGGAACAACAUCACCAUGGCUCUCUGAUAUGUUUCCCCAGCAUUCUUCAAUCCAAAUGGCAUCACUUUGUAGCAGAACGUUCCUCACAUUGUCUCGAAUGUGGUUUUUUCCAUGUCUUCGAGAGCCAUCUUUAUCUGAUUAUAACCUGAGAAACCAUCCAUGAACAAAAAUAAAGAAUGUUUUACCGUGUUAUCCACUAACGUAUCGAUGUGUGGCAAAGGAAAAUUAUCUUUAGGGCUUGCUCAGUUCAAAUCACGAUAAUCUACGCACAUUAAUACCUUGCCAUCUUUCUUCGGUAUCGGGACUAUGUUAGCUACCCAUUCUGGAUACUUGGAGACUUGUAGGAAGCCAGCAUCAAAUUGUUUAUUGACUUCUUCUUUUAUCUUCAACAACAUUUCGGGUCUCAUCCUUCUUAGCUUCUGUUGAACAGGUUUGCAUUCUGGUUUCAGUGGGAGCUUAUGGACCACAAUAUCUGUGCUCAACUCUGGCAUAUCCUGAUAAGACCAGGCAAACACAUCCUUGUACUCAUAGAGCAAGGCAAUUAAAUCUCGCCUGGUGUUUUCUGAAAUGGAAGUCCCAUCUUCACUUCUUGUUUCUUUUCUUCAUUCCCCAAGUUCACUACCUCAACAGAUUCUUGAUGGGGUAGAAUCUGUUUCUCUUCUUGUUCAACCAUUCUCAAUAAGUCAGGAGGCGGGACACAAUUUUUAGCAUCUUUCUCAGCUUCAAAUUCUCCUAAACAAAUAGCCUUCUCGAAAUUGAUUUUAGGACUUGUAACGGGAUUGUUCAUACCAUAGAUAUCUGAGCACCGAAAGGUGAAUGGGAAAGAAAACUAUAGAGGAGCAUCAAAGUAUUGGAAUCAACACACACAAUGUUAUGGAAUGAUAUAAUAUAUGUGUAGGAAAAAGCUAUGAGAAGCGAGAAUAAUUAUGACACUAAUAGAAACAAAAAGACCAUGACAAAAUGCAUCUUCAUUAAUGUUUAUUGAAAUGAUAAAGAGCAAACAUAAACUCUUACAAAAGGAAUCCCAUCACUUAGGAACACACAAAAUAAUGGAGAAGUAACAUUGGGUAUUACCCGGGAGAGAACUUAGAAACUACAAGAAGGUCCACAACAGUCCAAUUGUUCAAAAUAUAUUCAGGAGGACAGGGGUGUAUCAUUGAAACAUCAUUAAUUGUACCACUCUCGUUGAGCUCAACAUCCAUAGCUCUAGCUCUUAGAUGUGUUCUAUAAGAAUGACGUGAUUCCAGAAUUGUAGUGUCACAACUUGGAUUUUGCGGUUCUAGCCUUAAUGAAUGUUUAGGGUGAUAUGUAUAUGCAAUGCAUGAAUGAAUGAAUGAAUGAAUGAAUGGAUGAAUGACAAGUGAAUGUUAGUCAUGAAUAAAUAUACAAGAAUUUGGUGUUGAUUUCAAGAUAGCCCCAUAUUUUGGCGUUUCAUUUAUCAAAAGAGUCCAUUACAAAAUAUUUUGCCAAUGAAGAUGCCCCUAGUGCCUGAGUCUCAUUGUUUCCAGAUCCUAGUCAAAUCUUCGGGGUUAUUCUGACGAGCAUUCAAAGUCGCCUUCCCGAAAAGAUCAAAGAUAUAUCUUUCCUUUAAACUAUCCAUUUUUCUUUCUGGGUCCUCGAAGACCAAUCUUGGACUAUGUCAUUUUUCACGGUUACUUGUGUAAUUAACUCUUCCAUCAAAAACCCGUUUUUGGCAACCAAUCUUUAACCAACACCUUCCCAAUAAAAUGCCUAUGAUGCAUGAUGAGAAAUAAAAUGAAGACAAAUAAACUUAGUUAGUAAUCACGACAAAGAAAAACAAAGAAAAACUAUGGAAAAUCUAACAAACUGGCCUACUUUUUUUAUUUUUUGUUUUUACCCCAUCAUGCUUUACAAAAUAAACUUACCCCACAUACUCAUCAAUCUACCCGAUCCAAUUUAUUAAAUAGACCCGAUUCUUUUGCAAAUAACUAUAAAUGUAAAAGAAAUACAAGGUAAGAAACGUUUCUCCCAUGUACUUAUUCGGUAGCUAUCCAACGGACAGAGGUUCGACAUAGCUCUAAUUGGGUGGCUCGUACAGUUCACUAUAUGUGGUUUCAGUUCUAAAAAGGUACUCGAAUUGUCCAUACUGUUACCUACUAAGGUUAGUAUGGAGCCUCGGUUAUCACCCGUUAUGGGCUUGCGAGCUCAAUUCAAGGGACUACAUUUACUUAUGCCUAUGCGGAGGGACAAGUUAACUCACGAAAGCAUAAGUCAUAUGUAACCCGGAAGUAAUUUUUUAGCCUGUGCGGAGGGAUGAGUUAACUCACGAAGGCAUAGUGUUUACUUCCACUUAAACGGACGGAGCCCGGGUAGAGAGCUCAUGUUAUGCAAGAAUGCAAGUGCACAGUGUGUGGGGAGAAACUCACAAACCUUUUUUAUUUUUUAAUUUUACUAAAAAAAACUAAAAAAAUAUUUACGGGCAUCGGAAAAGUAUAAUAUCGGGCCUUCGUCUUAGUAAAUUGAGUUUGAAAAUAAUUAUUAGAAAUAUUUACGAGGCUAGUUGUGUGUUUAAUUAGAUUUUUAUUUAGUGAAUUUAGCUUAAUUAGGAGUAAUUAGCAAAAAGGAUUAAAUUCCAAUAGAAGUGAAAGUUUAGUUAUAGAUUAAAAGAAAGUAAAAAGGGGUAAAAUGGCAAUUAAGCCAUUUAUAUGAAAUGAGGUGGCAUACAAGCAUUAAAAUCUAAGAUUUUAUUUGAGUUAUACAUAAAUAUUAUAUAUAUUAUAAUUAUAAUUAUUAACCAUUGUUAAGUUUUUAUAUUAUUAUUAUUAAAUAAAGUAAAUAGUAGACAAAUGGAUGGUGAUAAAAUAAUACAUGUGAAAUUAAAAUAUGUAUAUUGUUGACACCAUUUUUUUUGUGAAAACGGGGUCGACUUGGAUUUUGAAAAUAAAACGAAAAUGGGAGUCGCCACCAAUUCUUUUUUUUAUGAGGUGUGAUCGGGUCACCUCGAAAAGUGGUUGUUUUUAAUAAACAAUUUAAUUUUUAUUAAAACAACGAUUUUGGCCUACGAAAUUCAGAAAACGGGUUCGGGAGUCGACUACGCACGAGGAAGGAUUAGCACCCUCGAUGCGCCCAAAAUUGGUACCUUGUUGAUUAAUUAAUGUCUUAGUGUUGAAAAUUGAAAACUUUGAAGAGUUUUAAAAAUACGAUCCUUAAAAGAAACUCUGAUAACGUGAAUUGAAAUAUAAGAUUCUCUUGUUCCGAAGGGAUAUCACAUCCAGCACGUUAGGACACGACACUUUAAACUGUCGAAACCAAGGUCACCUUAUAGUUUAAGGAAACCAUACUUUGAAGUUUGAAGAGGGUAUUUAGCUAUUUAGUCGAACGAGAAAUCAAAACCCAGCACGUUAGGGCAUGUUUUCUCGAAUUUCCAAACGCAAAAUAUUGCCUCACUUUGAAAUUUUAAAAGGAUAUUUGGCUAUUUGGUCAAACAAGGAGUCGAAACCCAACACGUUAGGGCACGUUUCCUCGAUUUUCCAAAUGCAAAAUAUUGCCUUAUUUUAAAAGUUUAAAAAGGAUAUUUGGCUAUUUGGUCGAACGAGAAAUCGAAACCCAGCACGUUAGGGCACGUUUCCUCGAUUUUCCAAACGCGAAAUAUUGCCUUAUUUAAAAAAAACCUUCCUUUCGAUGUUUGGUGUUAACGCAUGACAAAACAAUAACGAAUACGACAAGGUAAGCAUAGUAAUGUGAGUAACAACAAUACAAUAGGCAAAAUAAAAUGACGAGGCGAUUACAUAAACAAAGCAAACGAAUAAACAAAUAGAACUGACAUUUUAGAAAAGUAAAAGUGUACAUGAAUAAAUAAAUAAACACCAAAAUAACAAUGAUGACAAUAAAUACAAUUAUGUAAAAUGUGUAUGCAUGUAUAAUUUUAAGUUAUGAAAAUAAGAAAUGAUUUAUAUAUAAAUCGUAAAGUAUAAAAAUGUAUAUAAAUAUAAAUAUAUAUAUUAAAUAAAAAUAUGUAAGUAUUAUAAAAUAAAAAUGUAAGUAUGUUCAUAUGUACAUUAUAAAAUAUAUAUAGGUAUACUUAUUUUUUAGAUUAUAAAGUAUACACAAAAAAGGAAUAUAUGUAUAUACAUAUGUAGGAGUUACAAAAUAUAAAACACAUGUGUACAUAUAAAAUAUAUAACAUAAAAUAUGUGCGUAUGUAUAUUAUAAAAAUGUGCAUAUAUAUGUAUAUAUGAAAAUAAAAGUAAGCAUAUAGAUUAUAGCAUAUAUAAAAAUCUAAGUAUGUAUAUAUAUAUUGAUUGUAAAAGUGUACGUAUUAAGAAUGCAUGCAUGUACAUGUAUAUGAAAAAAUUCUAAAAUUUAAAAAAAAUAUAUACAUAUAAACAAGUAAAUAUCAUUAAAUAAAAUAUUAAAUAAAACUGGCUUUUACAUAGGUAUAUUUAUAUAUAAAAAUAAAUAAAUAAAAUUAAAAAAACUUGAAGUUUAAAAGGUCGAGGAUCGAAUUGGAAUCAGGCUGAUAAUUUGGGGCCAAAUUCGCAAAUAAAAGGUUCAGGGGCUGAAACGAAGCACGCGCGGAGUGCAAAGGACUGAUCGGGAAAUAUGCCCAAGUCCUGAAGCACAGCAUUUAUGCGCGGACUAAAUUGGAACAUGCAACAAAAUUGCAGGGCCAAAUUGAAAACAAUAAAGAAACCAGUAGAACGAUUAAAUUAAAACAAAAAAACGUGGAGGGAUCAAGAGCGCAAAUUUCCCAGUCAACAGAAAUGCGCGGAUCCCUUGGAACGGGUCGGGUCAAACACGCGGGCAAGGGGGCCAAACGGCACCGUUUUAUAUCUGCUAUAAAUAGCAAAAAAAGAAAAAAAGAAAAAAAAAAACAUUUCCAGCUUUAUUUUUUAGAAAAACAGAGAGCAGUUUGGUUCUCUCUUAGCCUUCAACUCCGGUCAACAGGGCCACCGCCUGCGCCGCCGUGACUCUGCCGUAGGCGAUGGUCGGAGCGACGCAAAGAUCGGGUCCUUCACCGAUUUAAAGGCCAUUUGAAGGCCGAAGCUUCAGGGCUCGAAAGCCGAAAGAAGAGAAACCCCAUGGCCUCCCUUCGGUCCCGAUUUCACCGACCAAGACGGUUUCGGCGACGGACCUUGCGUGCAGCCCUAGGUAAGUUUCUUCCCUUCCCUUUUUUUGAUUGAUUUUUUAUUAUAGUUAUUUAAAACAAAUUUGAAAAAAAAGAGAAAAAAAAACGAAAACAAAACAAGAUAAAACAGAUGAAUAAGAGAAAACGAAGAAGAAAUAGCAAGGAUUCAACCUUUUAAAAUUUCUAUUCAGCUUUUUGAUUUCUGAUAUGGGUGAAAAAAAAUACAAGGAUUCGAUCAAGGCUUUUAUAGCCGAUUUCCCUAACUCAUUUUUCCCUAUUUUUGUUUCCAUUAGCUAUAUUGCCUGCAUGCUUCUGUGGUUGCAUUCAAUUUUCUCUGCAGGUGUCAGACGAGGCCAACGGCGGAGGCAGAGGCAUGUGCGAGAAGAUGAAGCGGCACGCGUGGGCAGAGGCGGCCAACGGCGCCCUAGGGUUUCUCUUCUUCUGUUGAAAACAUUUGUUUGUGGGCUAGGGCUGUAUUGGGCUGGCAUCAUUGGGCUUUGGGUUUAUUUUUUGUAAAAUGGACUGUGACUGUUUUAUUAAUUUGGUUUGUUUUGGGUUCCAUUGGGCCCCGGGUAAAAUUUGGGCUCUACAUAUAUAUUUGUAGUUUGUAAAAUUAAUUUGCUUAUUAAUUAGUAUAAGAUAUUUAUUAUUUAUUAUUAGUUAUUAGUUAUUAUUAAAUUAAAAGAUAUUUAAUAAUUAAAUAAUUAGUAUAAGAUUUUUGGGUAAUAAUAAAUUAUGAUUUUGUCAAGUGUGUGGUAAAAAUAAAAUGCAAGUGUAUUACAUUUAUUUAUUUACUUAAAAUUUAAGUAAAAGAUAUUUAUUAAUUAAAUUAUUAUAUUAAAAUAUUUUUUUGAUGAAGUAGUUAGAUUAAGACAAAUGUAAGGUUAUGAUAUGGUACAAAUAUAUUAAUUAUAUUUGUUAUUAAAAUAGAUAUUUUAUAAAUAAUAAUUAAUUAAACAUAAAAGAAAUAAAAUAAAGGAAAUAAAGUAAAGUAAGUUAAAAUAAAAAGGAAAAGAACAAAAGAAUAACAUAGUAGAAACAGAGACCAUUCGAAACAGGGGAGAAAGAAAAGGGAAAGAAAAAUAAAAGGGAAAACUAGGGAUUUGAAGCUUGAAGUUUAAUUGGUAAGUUAAAUCAAGUCCUUUUCUCAUAAAUUUGAUGUUUUUGGAAUCCUAGAGUGAAAUACUCUUGGAUUUAAGUUGAAAAUUUGAAAGUUAAUAGAUUUUUUAGUAGGGUUUAUGUUGAAUAAAUUGUUGAAUUAGGGAUUUAAUUGAAUGAAUUUUAAGUUAGAAUUGAUAAAGGGAUUAAAUUGUAAAAGAAACUAUAAAUUUUAUGUUUUAGGGACUAAAUUGAGGGAAAUUCGAAAUUAGAAAAAUAUGCUGAAAUUUUGAUAGUUAAAUUUGAGUUUGGAUGAAAUAUGAAUAGAAAUAGAGUGUGAAUUGAAUUAGGAAAGUAAGUGAAUUUAGUUAGGAUUAAAUUGAGAAUAAGGAAGAAAUUGAAUAGAAAUUCAAUUAUUUAUUAUGAUUAGUGCUGUAAUUAAUAGCAUAAAUUAUUAUUAUUUUCGUAGCUAACAAAGAACCAGAAGCAUCGGCACGGAAGGGAAAAGAGAAGAUUAUCGAGGAGUAAACUCGAGAAAAUCACGGUUUGUAUUACUAUAAUUCAAGUUAUUUAUUAUUAAAUGUUAAAUUUUAAUUUAUGUGUUUAGUAAAUGAAAUGUGAGGUAAGUAUUAUUAUUAUUAUUAUUAUUAUUAUGAGUGUGAAUUAAAUUGAAUAGUUGAUAUGAAUUAAUAAUUGAAUUGUUUGUUCAUUGAAAUUGGGAAAUGAAUUUGAAUCGAAUUGUGAAUGAUAUUAAAUUGUAUGGAAAUGUAUUGAGUUGUGAAAAUGUGUGAAUUUGUGGAUUAAUUAUUGAUUGAAAGAUGGAGAAAUGAUUGAAUUGAAAAUGUGAGAAAUUGUGAUUGAAUAGAGGUUAUUUGUGAUUUAAAUACCCUAUUAACUAGUCGGGCUGAGUCGGAUAUAGUUGGCAUGCCAUAGGAAUAGAAGAGUUCAGGGAUACUUCGACCUCGAGUCGAUGAGACACUGGGUGUCACUAUAUUUCUUCGGAUAGAUUCGAUGAGGUACUGGUAUAUUUCUUCGGAUAGAUUCGAUGAGGUACUGGGUACCAACUUACUUCGGCUUGGCCGAUGAGACACUGGGUGUCAACUAUUGCUUCGAACUAUCCGAUGAGGCACUAGGUGCCAUUCUGGUGUGUUUGGUUGGAUCCGUGUAUCCGCCAAAGUCUGAGUUUUGUUAAUAGGGUAAAUUAUGAAAUGAUAAACCGAACGAGUUAAUCAAAUGAGCUAUUGAAAUGAAAUGAAAAAGUUGAAUUGUGAAUUGAAAUGUGAGAUUGAGAAAUAAACCAAAGUUCAUGAUGUGCCCAAAAUCAAAUUGUGGAUAUUUGAUAUCAAUUGAUGAAUUGCUAUUGUUGAAAUAUGGAAUUUAAAUCUAAAUUUGUAUAUACGAUUUAUGAAUUAUAUGUUUAUUAUUGUUAUAAUUUGAAUUAUGGUAAUACCACUGAGUAUAAAUUACUCAGCGUACGGUUGUUUCCGUGCGCAGGUCAAUAGAAGUCAAAGGUCCCGGUUCAGCAUCCAGAUUAAUCCCGGCUUCAGCAAAACUUGGUGAUGUAUUUUUCAUUUGGUAAAGGUGGCAUGUACAUAGGUUGUGUAUAAAGGUUAUUAUGUUUUAAUAUAAAUGGUUAAAAAAUGUUAGUAUUAAAGUUUAUGAAUUUUAAUGAAAGAAGUAUAUCUAUUUUUAUCUAAUUAGUACAUUGUUAAAUUUUAAAUUGAUAUUAUAUAGAUUGAGUUUGAUUAGAAGUAUUUAGAAUAGAAAAUGAGAAUGUGACAUGAAUUGGUUGAUUUGAUUUUAUUUGAAAAUGAAAUGGUUUUAAAUUGCAGGGGGUUUUAGGUAAAAAUAAGCAGAAAUGCUGUCGAAAUUUUUUGUAAAAAAAAUUUAUAAAAAAAAAGUCAAUUGGUAAACAAACAUAAGAAUUUAUGAUUUAUUUUAAUAUGUUGGUCAUUUAUGAUUUGUUUAUCUGUAAAUUGUUUAAUAUGUUCGGUAAUACCCCGUAACCCUGUUUCAGUGACAGUUUGAGGUUAGGGGGUGUUACACAUUAGACUCGACUCUAAAAAAAAGUCCCCAGCGGAGUCGCCAGCUGUAGCGACCUAAAAAAAAUUACGCGGGUGCUAGUCGAGGUGAUUAUUGAAAAUUUGAAAGCAGAAUUUUAAUUUAUUUAAAAAAAGGGAGUCACCACCGAUCUUUUUUCCUAGGUGUGAUCGGACACAUAAUAAAUUCUCAUUUUAGAAGAAAAAAUUAUUUUUUAAAAUUUUUUCUAAAAAAGAGGUAAUUUUAGGUCUACGUGAAAAUCUAGAGAAAAUUAGAGUUCGGGAGUAGGUUACGCGCGAGGAAGGUAUUUGCACCCUCGCGACGCCCAAAAUUGAUAUCUUGUUAAACGCGCGUUGUCUUAAUUUUCAAAAUAUAAGUUCAAUUUAAUAGUUAAUUGUGAUCCAAUCAAAAUACGAAUUUUUUAAAAAAACACGAAGAUUUUUGAAACAAUUAUUUUCUUUGAAAAACACGAAAAUUUUUGAAAACACGACAAUUUUGAAACACGCAAAAUUUUUUUGAAAACCCGAUUUUUUUUUGAAACGCGAAAAUUUGUGAAACACGAGAAUUGUUGAAAACACACAAAUUUUUGAAAACACGAAAAUUUUUGAAACACGAAAGUUUUUAGGAAACAUGAAAAAAAAAAUUUGAUCAUCGAAAUUUUUUAAAACACGAAAAUUUUUGAAACACGGAAAUUUUUGAAAACACGGAAAUUUUUUGAAAACGUGAAAAUUUUUGAAACACCAAAUUUUUUUUAAACACAAAUUUUUCGAUUUUUUAUUAAGCACGUAUCGUAUUUAACACGGACCGAUAAUAUUCACUCAACAUACCAAUGAAAUCAACGAAUUAGUGUCAAAUCGAUUUGUUGCCUUAUUAUUAUUUUUUUGAAAACGCGAAUAUUUUUUGAAACACGAGAAUUUUUUUUUGAAGACACGAAAAUUUUGAAGCACGAGAUUUUUUUUUUGAAAACAUGAAUUUUUUGAAUAUUUACAAUUUUUAAAAGGGGGUAUCGUAUUUAAUAUAAAUCAGUGAUAUUCACCCAACAUAGCGAUGAAAUCGACGAUUUAAUGUUAAAUCGAUUUGUUGCCUCAUUUAUUAAAAAUAUUAAAAAUAAAAUUAAUUUGAAUUAAAAUUAAAUUAAAUUAAAUUAAAAAUAUAAAUGCAUAAAUUACUAAUAACAUUAAAAUGAAAUAGCAUAAAAAUACGAACAUUAAAUUAAAAGUGAAAUAAACAAAAUUACCGAAAAGAUCCGAAACACGAGCUUGGUCGAACGGGUUACGCAAAUUGAACAUUUUUUUCUUUUUUCCUUUUUUUCCUUUUCUUUCUUUUUUUUUUCUUUCUCUCUCUUUCUUUUUUUUUGUUCGGUCGGCCUGCUGGGCCUACACACCUACUGGCUGCUGUUGGGCUGCCUGCUGGAUUGGGCCUGUUGUUGGGCCUGUUGGAUUGGGUCAUGCCUGUGCUACUAGGUCUUUUUUUUCUACUUUUUUUGUUUUUUUUGGGCUGCUUCCUAGGCCUGGGCCUGCGCUUGAAUGGCCUGCUGCUUGGUAGUGCCAGGUUGGGUCACGGGUCGGACGAGUCGGAUCAAUUAGACCCGGCUGCUUUAUUAUUUUUUUGAUUUUUUUUCUCUUUUUCUCUUUUCUCUUUUUCUUCUUUCUCUUCUUCUUCCCCUCCCUUCUUCUUCCUUCUUCCUUCUUCUUCUUCCAGUUCUCCUAGCCCUCUUCAACUCCGCCGCUGUCCUCUUGGCCGACGGUGACUGCCGGCAUACUUCUCGCUCUCCUCUUCCCCUUUUCUUUUUCCUUCUCUUAUUUUUCUUUUUUUUUCGAAAAUCCGAAGACCCAAGGCGUUGCUCCGGUCCUCCACUCGCGCUCCGUCGCUCUCGUCCGCCUCCGGUGGUUGUGAGAAAGAAAUGAAAACUUUUUUUGAAGUUUCUUCACCGUUUUUUCUUCAUUUUUGCUGCUGAUUUUUUUUGUCUUGUUGUUUUUUUUUCUUUCUCUUUUUCUCUCUUUCUUUCUUUUGAGGGUUUGAAAUCCCCUUUUAAAUUUGAUGUUUUUUCUUCCUUUUUGCAGGUAGCAAGUGGGCUAGGGAGGGCCUAGGUCGGCCGUAGCCUGUUGCAGGCGCAACUUGCGUUGAUGGCUGUCAGAGGGACCAAAAUGUAAUGGCAGCAAAACUUUUGGGGUUGAAACGUAAUUUUGAGAAAGUUUAGGGGUUAAAAUGUAAUUUCAAAAUGUUUAGGGGUUGAAAUGUAAUUUUGAAAAAAAUUAGGGAUCAAAAUGUAAUUUUAAAAAAUUUAGGGGUCAAAAUAUAAUUUUUUUAAACACAAAAUUAUUCCAGGACAAAAUUCAGUGAUUACAUAUAUAAUUUCUACUACUAUUCGUAAUUCCUCUGAACUUUUAAUUUAGAGAAUAAUGUACAUUUAAGUGCACUCAAACCCACGUUUUUGUGUAAGUUGUAACAACAAUUAUGCCAAUUGAGAGAACAAAAACCCAGGGUGUAAGAAGCUAUAUUUGCAAGAUGGGUUUGGUUCAAGAAAACUUGAUUUCAGCUCAGUAAUAGUAGAGUCCAACAAUCAUGUGAGCUAAAUUUAAGAAUAUUAAUACUUGAAUUAUUUUUCUUGCAAGCUGAAUUUGAGAAAAUUAAUACUUGAAUUGAGUAGCUUGCAGUUUAACUCGAGCUUGAAUACAAAUAAUUAAGCUUGAAGUUGAGCCUAAUCAAGAGAAUUUCUGUAGCUUGUUAUUUAUAUCGAAUUGAGCCAAUUGAACUUUUUAGAAGCUUUAAGUUCAAAAUUUUGGGUCAAGUUAGGUUGGAUAAUUUAAGCAAAGUUGUUUUUUGUUUACAAGCGGGGAGACAAUGGAACGAAGGCAACAUUUGGAUCUUAGUAGACAAGAUUAUUUCAAAGUCAAAAUUAAAUUAAAGAAUGAGAAAGAAAUAUGGAAAUGCAUACAUGUUGGAUUGCUAUGUGUCCAGGAAUAUGCUAAAGAUAAGCCACUAUGUCUACGAUUGUUUCAAUGCUUAAUAAUGAGAUUUCAAAUCUUCACCCUUCAAAACAACCUGCUUUUACUCAAGCACCACUAAUUAGCCAUGUUGUUGAGAAUAAGGUUUCAGUUAAUGAUGUAGCUCUUACAGACUUUGAUUUGAUGGUAGAUAAAGAUGCAAAUUAUUUAUUUUUAUUAGUUUUUAGAAAUAAAUUUUAAGUAUUGAAAUUUAUCUAUCUAUUAUUUUUUCGUGCGAUGCACAAGUUAAUCUUUUGUAUUUAUUAAUAUAUAUAUAUUUAAAUUAUUGUAUAAAAUUUUAAACACUUGAUAAGAGCGAAAAAUGUAUUAUUAAAAAGGAGAAAAAUAAUUGUCAAUGUAAACCAAAAGUCCUCAAAAUAAACGGUUCAAAAAACACAAAACAAACCCUCCCCAUGGGAGAAACUUUGACCGACGGUUGCUCACAUCUCACAAGCUAGAUACUUCGAUAAUCAAGCCAGCGAUCAACAGAACCAAACAGUGGGGAACAGAUUAUAAAAAACCCCACAAAAGCCAUAUAUUCGAGCAGGACUUAUGGCGGAUCCAGUAGUCGAUGAUUCUCUGCAGCCGUAGCAGCAACAACAGCCUGGGAUUCCUCAACCCAAAAUCGAUCUUUAUCGCGCGACAACCCAUCUCUAGCCAUUGCAUGCGCUGUUCUAUUCUCUGAUCAUUCGAUAAAUUGGAAACAACGAAACCCUAAUAAUUUGAGGAGCACCCUCGAUAAUCCUCGAUAAAUUGUAUCCAUGAUAAAACCCUAAACCCUAAACCCUAAACCAAAUAAUCCGAAGAGAUCCCUUGAUAAAUUGCAUGCGCUAUGGAUAGUAAAGAUAUUGAAACGUUCCCCACCCAAACCAAAUAAUCCGAGGAGCACCCUCGGUAAUCCUCGCACUGACCACCUUCUCGUUAAGAUCCGCCAGACAUAAUAAUGCUGAGAGACCUGAUAAGCCAUAAAAGUAACAUAUUUUUAAUCCUACUCUUGAUGCGUUUUUGGAUGAUUUAUUAUGUAAAUUAGUGAAUUUGAUACUCCUAAUCCUUUAAAUUCAUGUUUCUAUACUUAGGUGAGCAUAGGGGAGUGAAAGGAGCAAAAAAAGCCAAAAUCAGAUAAAAAGAGCUGUUUUCAAGAUCCACACGGCCUGGACAUUUUCACACGGGUUAGGCAUAUGCUCGUGUGAGACACACGGGUUGGCCACACGCCUAUGUGCCAGCCUGUGUUGAUUUCACACCCUGCUUCUCUUUUACGCGAAAAAGCUUAAUUUUUAGACUUUUUAAGCAUUUUAAAGUCUGUAAGUACCAAUUAGAAGAAGAUAUAAUGGGGCAAUCAGAGAAGAUCGAAGAAAACACUCGAAAAAUGCCAUUGGAAUCAACUCGAAAGCGGAUCUCCUUCAAGAUCAAAGAACUCCAUUUAAUUUCUUUUGAAGUUUUAUUGAGUUUCUUUUUGUCUUGUGGAUAUCCUAACUUCGAGAUGUUCCUAUUUAGGAUUAUGAACUAAAUUCCCUAAAUACCAAGGGAGGAUGAAACCUAUGAUAAAUCUUAUUAUUUAAUUUAUGUUUUUACGUGAUAAAUAACUGAUUCCUGUUCUCAAUUAUUUAUAUUUAUUUUGUGUUUUAAUAUUUUGGGGGUAUUAAUUCAUGUUUAAUGUGCUUAUUUCAGUGGAGCAAAAGUCCCUGUUUAAGAGUAGAUCUAGCAUAAUUGAGUGGAGUUUCAUGCAAUCCUAGAAAUAGGACGACAUAAAUCUACUGGAUUAGAGUCAAAUCUAAUAGGGGAAUACAUAGAUCGAGUUAAUGGGACGAUAGGGGUUUUAAUUAGAAAGAUAUUUCAAUUAAUAAACUUAGAGUCAGUUGUUCUUACUCUCAUAAGAGAUAUUAACAUAAUUUAAGGAUUUAUACGGAUCAAGACAUGAGUGAAUAAAUCAUUUAAUUCAGAUUCAGAAUAAUAGGUGAAGUCUAGGUGGAUUCUUUCUUGGGAAUUGUCUUUCUCAUUGGUUAUUUUUGGUUAUUUUCCUAUUUCAUUCUUUGUUGCAUUUUUAGUUAAAUUAGAUUAGUAAAUUUAGAUUUAAAACAAUCACUCUACUUUCUCCGCUAAAUAAUAGAAAAACGGUAAUUACUAGUACUUUUAGUCCUCGUGGAUAUGAUCUUCCCUACUCACCAUAGCUAUACUAUUGUUCGAUAGGUGCGCUUGUCUUUGUCGUAAUUAUAUAGUUAGUUUAGUAACCGUCAAGACCUUCCCCUUGCUUGAUCCCUCGAGUUAGAAAAAGUUGUUCACCCACCACACCAUUCGUCACCAUAGAAUAAUUGAACGAGGUAACAAAUCGCAUUAUUCGAUCAACCCAAACAUUUGAAAAACUCAUUUUGAGGAGCAUUACCUUAAUAAACCACCAUUCUACACGAUCGUAAGCUUUGCUCAUGUCAAGCUUAAGCGCAAACGUCCCAUGCCUACCAAAACGACUAUUUUUCAGUGUAUGCAGAAUUUCAUAAGCAACCACAAUAUUGUCAAAAUAAGAUGCCCCGGUACAAUGGAACUCUGAGCUUCAUCUAUACAGAAAUGGAGCACUUCUUGAAACCUAUUAACCAAAGCUUUCGAGGCAAUUUUGUAUAUAACGUUACAAAGACUGAUGGGUGGAAAAUUCAUCAUAUUGCAUGGUUCUUUACUUUAGGUAUCAAUGUUUCAAAUCAUAAAUAAAUUGUUUUAUUAAUAAUUUAUCAAAAAUUAAUCAAUUUAAAUAAUUUCAAUAUGAUGUAUUGUUUAUAGCAUAUAUAGGAAGUAACAUGAAAGAAAUAUUUAGUAUUACUUUGUAAGUAAAUAAUUAAAAUACACUAAUAAUAAAAAAUUAAAAUCAAAGGAACUAAUAUAAUAAUGUAUAAGGAAAAAUCCUUAAAUUUAAUGAAUGUACAAAUAAAAUAUAGAGGACUAAUUAUGUAAUAUCAAAAAGUGAAAUACCUUAAAAAAAUAUAAAUGUGAAGGGAUUUAUGUUGCAUAUAUAUCCUUUUCUAUUUCCUUUAAAUACAAAAAUUUAAAAAUACAUCGACUAUAAUGUAGAUAAAAAUUAAGGUUACAAAAUACCUUAAAUAUAACUUGGCUUCUUCUUCUUCUUGGAUAUAAAUACUGUAAAAAAAAUGUUAGAAAAUUAUAAAUUGGUAACUCCUAUAAAUUUUGAAUACAAAGUUCUGUAAAAGAAUAAAUUAAAAUUUCUCAGAUAGUAAAAUUGGACCUCAAUUAAAUUUAGAGUUAGAGAGGCAAAGUUCUUUGACAACUAUUAGAUCUUGAAUAUAAAUUUUAAAAAAUGUUAGGCAAACAAAAAGCACUCACUUAAAAUUGAGGUAUGUCACAUUAUAAAAGUUACAAAUGAUUAAAUUCAUAAACAAAUUUAAAAUUUAUUAUUACCAAAAUUUACAACUUAAACAUGACAAGUUUUAUUAGCACAAAUUCAGACAAUAUUCAAAAACUACUUCACACAAUCCUUAAAAUCUCAAAUAUCAUUCAUAAAUCAUAGCGUCACUUCCAGUUCUGCUCUUAAAAGAAAUUCAGAAAACAAAGUCAUGGGAAAAACUAUUAGCUGCUCUGUUUUACUAGCUUUAAUUUCUUGCUUUUACUUACCAUUUGCCACUGCUUUAGACACCAUAACACCAUCAAAAUCCAUCAAAGACCCUGAAUUUAUAAUCUCCCAGAAUUGUGUUUUCCAAUUGGGAUUCUUCAGCUUGGCUAACUCCAGCAAUCGUUAUGUAGGGAUACUCCACAAUCAAAUCCCCGUACAAACUGUUGUAUGGGUAGCAAAUAGAAACAGUCGUCUCAAAGACUCUUCUGGGAUUCUCAACAUAUCAGAUGAUGGCAACCUUGUUGUUUCCAAUGGAAAAGCUGAGGUUCUAUGGUCAUCACAUGUUACCAAUACAGCUCCUAAUGCAACAACUGCCCAGAUUUUAGACUCUGGAAACCUUGUCCUUAGUAAUGGUGAGGAUGGAGCAAGCAGCUUAUGGGAGAAUUUUGAAGAUCCUUCUAAUGCCUUCAAACUAUGAAGAUCAGCACUAAUGUUGAAAAGGGUCGAAAAGUGGAGAUCAAAUCAUGGAAAAGCCCUGAUGAUCCAUCUGAUGGUAACUUUUCUCUUGGUAUUGAACCUUUCAAUAUCCUAGAGGUCGUCAUUUGGAACAAUAACGAGCUCUAUUUUCGGAGUGAACCAUGGAAUGGGAAUAUGUUUCUUGGCUUAAUGCUUCCGACCACCGUUGAUAUUGAUGGGUUUUCUGUUGUUGCAGAUAAUCAACAACAAACGUUUUACAUGGCUUAUGAAUUUUCUAGUGACUCUAUGUUGAUAUACUUUAAAUUAGAUUCUCAAGGAAAAUUCAUUGAAUGGAGAUGGGAUGCGGGGAAAGGGAACUGGACAAACAAGUACUCUAUUUAUCUUACAGAUUGUGAUGUUUAUGGGAAGUGUGGGGCAUUUGGGAUAUUCGAUUCAACGAAACGACCCAUUUGCAGUUGCUUAGAAGGGUUUAAGGCUAGGAAUAUAGAGGAAUGGAGUAGAGGUAAUUGGAGUGGUGGGUGUUUUAGGACUACCCCUUUGCAGUGCCAAAGGGAUAACAACAAUGGGAGUGGAGCAGGCCAAGAUGAUGAUGGGUUUUUGGAGAUGAAGAUGAUGAAAGUACCAGCAUUUCCGGACCGGUCAUCAAUAAUUAACAGGGACUGCAAAGAUCAAUGCAUGGAUUUCGUGGGCUAGAUUAAGUUUUUGCUAAUUCAAUAGAGCUUUUUGGGCCUUUGACGAGAGUUAGAGAUGACGGACCUAAAGGGACCCUUCGUGGGCAGAUCCAAGAAAUAAGAGCCGAACGUGUGAAGCCCAAGUUGAAAAUGAAAUACCACAUUCAAGCUUCAUUUUUUUACUAAAUGCGCUCAUUAAUGUUUUCUAUGUCGUAAAUUAAAAAAAAAAUAAACUACUUAGUUGAUGAUUCAACUUUUAAGGGUACUUUCAAUGAAAUCUUUAUAAUUUAUUUAUUCAAUUUUUAGGACGCUUUCAUUUUAGUCAUCCAAUCGUUAAAUCUUUAACGGCUGUUAAUUAUACACGUCAUAUCAUGUUCGCACUUUUAUUUUGGUCAUCUAACUUCUAGGUCGUUUUCAUUUGGAUUAACUCAAAAAAUACUUUUUUAAAGUAUUGAUUGUAGUAAAAAAAAUUAAGAAUUAAAGUGAAAAAGUAGUAUAAACUAAAAUAAUGCAUUAAAAAGUGUCAAAUUGUACUUGUUUAUCACAUUGCCAAAAUUUCUAAAAGAAAUUCAAUAUUAAAAUUUUAAAUUUCAAAACAUAAAAAUUAGUUAAAUAACUUAUUGAAAUUAGUUGUAAGGUUUUAGCUUAUUAUGAAAGACUCAGUAUCAUAUAAUUAAAAGAAAUUUGAAUUUCAUGUAUAAUUAUUAAAUAUGAUUUAUUUGAGUUGAUUUUAAUUUGGAAAUAUAAAAUAAAAUAUUAAAAUUUAAAAGGAGAUUAAAUUAAUUAAAUUAAUUAAUUUCAAUAUUAUAAUAAUAAAUGAGUUUUUAUUAGUAAUUUUUCAGUACUGGAUAAUUAUAUUGAACCUCAAUUAAGUUUAGGGCAAAAUUAAGUUGAACUCUAAAAGAGAGGCAAAGUUCUUUAAGAACUAGUAGAUCUUGAAUAUAAUUUUUAAAAAAGGUUAGGCAAAGAAAAGCACUAACUUAUGCCAUAUAGUAUACUGUAAUUGGUAAGAGACCUUUUUUUUCCUUAACAAGACUCGGUCAUUGCUAAAAUAAUUUUGAAAAAAAGGAAUGUGCUUCAUUAGUCAAAGUUAUUCAAUGGAAGAGUCUAAAUUCAUCGGUUUGACAAAAGCUACCUAUAUUAGUCAAAGUUAUUUAAAUGUCGUCUUGGUCUGUAACUUCUGGAAGUUCUAACCUCAAUAAAUUUUAUCAAUAGUUUUUAAUUACUAAAUUAAUUACGAAAGAUUAUCUAGUCAUUUUUAUUUUGCUCGAAAUUUUUAUAAUUUCAUUAUUUAAUUUUUAGGAUGAUUUAUCUUAGUUACUAAAUCAUUAAAUUUUUAAUGGUGGUUAGCUGUACAUACCACAUCAUGUUCACAUUUCAUUUUGGUCCCUUAAAUUCUAAAUCGCUUUCAAUUUAAUCAUUCAAAAAACAUAUUUUCCAAGUAUUAAUCGAGGUAAAAAUUGCUAAAGAGUAAAGUGAAAAAGUAGUAGAAAUUAAAAUAAUGCUUUAAAAAAUUUAAAUAACUUAUUUAAUUAAUUUUGAUGUUUUGAAAUACAACUUACACUAACAGAUAAAUAAAUACAAUUUGAUAAUUUUUAAAGUAUUACUUUCCACUUUAAUCUUUAAUUGUUUUUAAAAUUGCUGCAAUGAAAAGUAAGAAGAAAACAUAAAGAGGUGCUUAGUGCUCCAAGAAAUUUCAAACCUUGAUGUAAUCAUUUGAAGAAAAUUGAGUUGAGUUCAUCUAGUGUAAAUCCUUCAAGAUUCCAAAUAUCAUUCAUAAAUCAUAGCGUCACUUCCAAGUUCUGGGUAGAGAUUAUGGGAAAAACUAUUAGCUGCUCUGUUUUACUAUCUUUAACACCUUGCUUUUACUUGCUAUUUGCCACUGCUUUAGACACCAUAACACCAUCAAAAUCCAUCAAAGACCCUGAAUUUAUAAUCUCCCAGAAUGGUAUUUUCCGAUUGGGAUUCUUCAGCUUGGCUAACUCCAGCAAUCGUUAUGUAGGGAUAUUGUACCAUCAAAUCCCCGUACAAACUGUUGUAUGGGUGGCAAAUAGAAACAGGCCUCUCAAAGACUCUUCUGGGAUUCUCAACAUAUCAGAUGAUGGCAACCUUAUUGUUUUGAAUGGCAAAACUGAGAUUCUCUGGUCAUCAAAUGUCACCAAUACAGCUCCUAAUGCAACAACUGCCCAGCUUUCAAACUUAGGAAACCUCGUUCUCAGUAAUGGUGACGAUGCAGGAAGCAGCUUAUGGGAGAGUUUUCAACACCCUUGUAAUGUCUUCCUUCAAACUAUGAAGAUCGGCGUUGAUAUAAAAACGGGUCGUAAAGUGGAGCUGAAAUCAUGGAAAAGCAUGGAUGAUCCAUCUGAUGGUAACUUUUCUCUUGGUUUUGAGCCUUUCAACAUCCCAGAGCUUGUCAUUCGGAAGUAUAACCAGCUCUAUUUUCGGACCGGUCCGUGGAAUGGGAAUAUCUUUAUUGGCAUAAUAUAUAUGUACACCGUCAAUUUUGAUGGGUUUGAUGUUGUUGCAGAUAAUCCACAACAACCGUACUAUAUCACUUAUGAAUAUUCUAAUGACUUUAGGUUGCUAUACUAUGAAUUAGAUACUCAGGGAAAAUUCAUUGAACGGAGAUGGGAUGCGGAGAAAGGGAACUGGAUAAACAGGUACCCUAGUCAUGAAACAGAUUGUGAUGUUUACGGAAUCUGUGGGGCAUUUGGAAUAUGUGAUUCAUCGAAACGACCCAUUUGCAGUUGCUUAAAGGGGUUUAAGCCUAGGAAUGCAGAGGAAUGGAGUAGAGGUAAUUGGAGUAAUGGGUGUUUUAGGAAUACCCCUUUGCAGUGCCAAAGAGAUAUCAACAAUGGCAGUGGAGCAGGCCAAGGUGACGAUGAGUUUUUGGAGAUGCAGAUGAUGAAAGUGCCGACAUUUCCGUACCGGUCAUCAAUAGUUAACGGUGACUGCAAAAAUGAAUGCAUGAAGAAUUGUUCGUGCGUGGCUUAUGCGUAUGAUGAUGGCAUUGGUUGCAUGUUGUGGAGUGGAGAUUUGAUUGAUGUCAAGAAACUCUCCAGUCUCGGAGUCGAUCUUUACAUUCGUCUGUCUUCUUCGGAACUGGGUAAAAUUUCUGAGUGUCGACAAUGUGUUUGAUAAAUUGCGUCAAUAUCUGCCUUUUUGGUGUUGAAGUUAUUAACCAAGUUUCUCUAUUUGCAGAUAAAGGGAAAAGUAGAAAGGUCAUUGUUAUUACAACAGUAAUUGCGGGCAUAAUAGUUAUUACAAUUUCUGCAGUACUCUUCUUAUGGUGUAGGAUGGCUAAACAUAAAGGUAAUAUAUAUGAAAAAUAUUUAAAUGUAUUUAUAAUUUAUUAAGAAAUUAAAAUUUAGGCUAUGAAUAUAUACACGGAUAUUAAGAUAAAAGGGCCGGGUACAUUCACCAAUAUGGUACUAACUACAUUGAUCUUAUCUCAGGCAGGAAUAAAAAACAAAAACAGGUCAAACACCAAAUUUGUAGGGAAAAUAUAGGAGAAAAUUCAAUUGGAGUUAAACUCCAGCAGCUGCCCAUAUUCAAUUUUGAAGAACUUGCCACCGCGACAAACAACUUCAAUCACGCAGAAAAGCUAGGGCAGGGUGGUUUCGGUCAAGUUUAUAGGGUAAUAAAUAAUGGCGAUUUGCAAAUCCAGUGUCAAUGAAAUGACAUUUUCUUUUUUUCUAUCAAGUCUUCUGAGUUGAACUUUGUGUGCAGGGAAUAUUAGAUGGUGGGAAGGAAAUAGCAGUAAAAAGAUUGUCGAAAUCUUCGGUGCAAGGAUUGGAAGAAUUUAUGAAUGAAAUGGUGGUGAUCUCUAAGCUUCAACAUCGAAAUCUGGUAAGAUUGCUUGGCUGUUGUGUUGAAGGAGAAGAGAAGAUGAUCGCCUACGAAUAUAUGCCCAACAAAAGUUUGGACGCUUUUCUCUUUGGUUAGUAACUUAUUCCAAUCCUUUUUUACCUUUUUUUUUGUGAUUUUUCGCUAUUUUGGACCCUAAACAAGGGACAAAGCUUUCCUAGAAUUAUUUUCUUCAUCCAUAAGACUUGAUCUUAUAUUGUUGCUUAAGGGGAAUUGAAUUCCUUAUCACUCGAUCUAAUAAGCAUUAAUAUUGUUUUCCUUCUCAUUACAACUUAAACUUGGCCUUGACUACCACAUUUACCUAAUCCGAUGAAUCCUACUCAUUUGAUUUGGUAGGUACAAUCCAUAUAGGUUAGAUCUUGGAUAUAAUUUUCUUGAAAAGUUUCAAAAAAUGAAGAAACAUAAUUUCCCAUUGAAAAACCAUUAUGUAAGGAAAAUCUUAUGUAUUUUUAUCGAAAAAUAAACUUCUAAUUUUUUUAAUUUUUUAAAGUUUUUUAACUUUUAAGAAUUAAGACUAAAUUAACAAAAUGUGUAAAGUUAAGGGUUAAAUGUGUUCAAUUUUUUAAAUUUAGGACUAAAUUGAUAGAUUCUAUAAAUAUUGAAGGAUUAAAAUUGUUAUUAUGCCAAAAGGAAAAAGUCACUAUUAGUGAUUUAACACAAGAGUGACCAAAAUAUUAAAUUUCGAUAACAUUAAACAGAAACACACUAAUAGUUGAAUGACUGUCUUUAUAGCUUACCUUUAAAAUUUUAAUAUUUAAAAAUUAAUUAAAUAUUAAAAUCACACAUAUGUCACACUAGAAGUUAGUAAUUAUAAAAUAUAGAAGUAUGAUUCUAAGUUUUUUUUUAAGCAAUAAAAUUGGUCGGCUAGUUGAUUUUGUGCAAACUUGUGUAAGAGGAUAUGAAAAAUAGUUAUGGCUUGGUCCAUGGACAUGUCUGAUGUAAUUAUAUUCUGAGAUUUGAAUGGCAGCAACGUAAUAUUUUGACUCUCUCCAUUGUUCAAUAUUUAUUUCAAUUGAUUGGCAUAACAUCAAUUCUGUCUACAAUCACAAUUAAUACGAUAUGGUAGACAAUACAACAAUGAUUGUAGUUUAGAUCCACUAUUAUAGAAAUUAACUAUAAAUCUUGAGGUCUUAUUGUUUAAGUUUUGUCAUAGAUCCAGCUAAACAAGAUGUUUUGGAUUGGAGAAAACGAUUCAACAUCAUUGAAGGGAUUAGUCGAGGAUUGCUUUAUCUACAUAGAGAUUCAAGACUAAAGAUUAUACAUAGAGAUCUGAAAGCAAGUAAUAUUUUACUCGAUGAAGAAUUAAACCCAAAAAUUUCAGAUUUUGGGAUGGCUAGGAUUUUCGGAGGCAAUCAAAAUCAAGCUAAAACUAAAAGGGUUGUUGGAACUUAGUAAGUUGGAACUUUCUCCUUAUCAUUUAAGUUUAUUCUCUCUCUCUCUCUCUCUCUUUUUUUUUUGGAUAAAAUAUGGUAUAGAUAUAUCUAUUGAUGGAUCAGGUCCGAUGCUUAAAAAGAUUACAUGCCUAGACCUAAACUUAGUUUGGCUUAGUUUGAUCUAUAGACUCAUUUUACCAUUUUUAAAAAUUAAAAUAAUAAAGAAUAUAUUAUUUUAUACUUUUAUUAUUUAAUUUUAAUUUAGACCGACUUAUGAAUAAGUUUAGGCCAGGGUUGUAAUUAAUGUUUUUUAAUGUUAAAAUACAGUGGUUAUAUGUCUCCUGAGUAUGUAAUGCGAGGGCAAUUUUCAGAGAAAUCAGAUGUAUUCAGUUUUGGAGUUCUAUUGCUAGAGAUUGUUAGCGGAAGAAGAAACACAAGCUUUUGCAACGAUCAGUAUGCACUUAGCCUCUUGGGAUAUGUAAGUUUAUAAGAUAAUUAGACAUGUUGGUGGGUUGAAUUAGGGUGUAAAAUACCGUUUUUGCAAGCUAUUCAGGUUCAAAUCAAGAAAACUUGAAUUCUACUAAGUAACUAUUGAGUUGAGCGAUCAUGAGCUGAACUUGAGAAUCUUAAUGCUUGAAUUGGGUAGCUUGCAAGGUGACAUGGAAAGUCCUAAUACUUGAAUUGACUAUAAGCUCUCUUUUUUGCUUUAAAUAUAUAUUCAACAUUUUCAAUUGAAAUUCGAGUUUGACUACAAUAUCGAGUUUAAGUUGAACCUAAGAAUGAAGCUCAAUUUAGACAUAGGUGAACAAGCUUAAGCAAGAAAUUUUGAGCAGUUGGAUCUUUUCAUAUGUUGAAUUGAGCUAAUCAAAAUCUAUUUAGACUUUGUGUUUAUAAUUUUGAGUUGAUUUAGGCUGAAAAGUUUAGGUAUUAAUUUAGACGAAUUUUCUUUUCUAUUCUCAGGCAUGGAAAUUGUGGAGGGAAGGCGAUAUUCGUGGCAUAGUAGACAAAGUGAUUUUAGAGUCAGAAACAUAUUCAAAGAAUGAAAAUGAAAAAGAAAUAUGGAGAUGCAUACAUGUUGGUUUGCUAUGUGUUCAAGAAUUUGCUAAAGAUAGGCCCACUAUGCCUACAGUUGUUUCAAUGCUUAAUAGUGAGAUUUCAGUUCUUAACACUCCAAAACAACCCGCUUUCACUGAAGCACCACUAAUGAGUCAUGAUGUUGAAGAUAGGGUUUCACUUAAUGAUGUAACUCUUACAAACCUUGAUGGCCGAUAAAGAUACAGUUUUAAGUAUUGGAAUUUAUCUUUUAUAUUCAACCUAUUUUUAUCAUUUUAUUUCUAUGAUAAUUGUAAUUUUAUUUGUUCCAUUCUAGUGAAUUUACCAUUAUAUUUGAACAUAGCAGUUUAAUGCCAAAACCGAAAAUUUUUGAUGAAAUUCAAAUUCAAAUUCAAACUCAAUCCAAUUUAAUUUGAACAUAAAAAAAAUUAACAAUUUAAACUUGUUAAAUCCAAACUUAAAAAUAAUUUAAAACUCAAAAUAAUUUAAAAUUAAAAUGAUUCAAACCCAAAUUUGCCUAACCCAAAAAUCUUCCAUUUUUUUUGGUGGAUUCGUUGUUUUGGGUCAAAGCAUCGUUCCAAUAUUGCGGCCAUAAUCUUCCAUGAUAUAGUUAGUGUUAUAAGUCUUCCACUAACUAGUACAGUUCCUCUUAAGUUGGGGAUGAUCUUUCACAGAUCUUUCCCGGCAACUCCCCCGUAUGUCCUCGCGUUUCCGUAAAGAGAUUUUUUUUGAUGUCUUAAAUCAACAAUGUAAUUUUUAAGAAGAAAACAGUGGAAAGCAAAUUAAACUUGCAUUUUGGGUGGAAGAUAAAUGAGUCUUCAAGUCAACCAAAUUAAACGUGCAUGACAAGCUAGAAGUAUUGAUUUCCAUGAUCAAGGUGACAUGCUAGUUGAAUACAAUAUAGGUAGUGAUUAGUGCUUGAAGAAAAUUCAAAUCUUGAUGUAAACAUUUGCAGCUGCCUUGAAAUAUCAUUACAUCAUAUAAAAAAUAUAAGUUAAAAUUAUAAAGAUAUAAAUUAUUAAAAUGGUGAAAUUGCAUUUUAUCUCUCACAAAAAUAUAUAACUUAAUUCUAACGCCUAGAAAAAUUUUCUGAUUUCCCCCAUGAUUAAACUUCUUAUCACUCAGUCCAGCAUGUGUAGCUAAACAAAUAUUCUUAUUUGUAAGAUUCGUAUAAGGAAUAAAUAUCAAAAUUAUGCAUAAAAUUUGAUCUAAUAUGUAAUUUAAUACAUGAACUUUGAUUUGAUGCAAUUAAACACAUCAAAAUUUAGAUAAAUUAAGUUAUUUAUGUAUGUAAUAUAAAAUAAAAAAUUGUGUUAUAUCGAUAAUUAUAUUAAUAACUUAUAAAAUUUAAAUAAAAAAAGUUUUCAUAUAUGAAAUCAUAAAUUUUUAGAUUUAUCCCUAUAGCAAACAACUCCAAGGUGUGGGACAUAUAAGCCAUGCAUGCGUCAUAUCAAACGUACAAAAAAACUUCUACUAAAGAUUGGCAAAUACUAAGGGUGAGUUUAGAUGGGCGGUGCGUUUACCUGCGGCUAGUGUAAAAACAGCGGUGGCGGUGAGAUUAGACACUAUAGCGAUACUGUAGCGUGAGAUAAAAAGUAAACUAAACGCACCGCACCGCACCUAAUUGCCCAUCCAAACCCACCCUAAGUCAAUGUGUCCGUGUGCUGAAAGAAUGUUGAAUUCAAUUAUAAUUCUACAAAUAAUGUACUUGUACGUCCAUAAUAUAAAUAAAUGAACAUGAAAUUACUUUAUCAUGUCAUAUUCCAUGAUUUGCUGACAGGAUCUGUAUCUUCCACCUUCUUUGCUUGGCAAAUUAAGAAAGACCAACUUAAGCUCCAAGCAAGUCUAGUGGGUUCUGUAUAGUAUUCUAAUACUUUAAAUUAUACAUUUAAUUGAUUUUAGUAGUUAAAUUUUAUUAUUAGACUGAUUUUAUGUGUAAGUUGUAACUCUAUUCUUUAGGUUAAUUUCUUUUUAAUCUUUAAAAUUUUUGAAUUUUAAAAUUCAAUCCUAACUCAAACGAUAAUAAUUAAAUUCAUUAAGUAAUAUAAUAUCGUUUUUAUGAGUAUUAUUUGUAAAUAAAAAGUUAAUAUAAUAUCACACAUGAUAAUAUAUUUGUUAUAUAAUAUUUUAAAAAUAAUUAAUCUAACUGCUAUUGUUUGAGUUAUACAUAUAUAAUUUAAAGAAUUUAAUUAUUUUAUAAAUCAAAAUAUAGUCUUAGGUCCAGAAUUCGAGUUUUUGGAUAUCCUAUACCCUGAUUGUAUUUGUGUGAACAUGGUGGCACAUGAGUUGAUUUUUUGGUACUCCAAUGGAAGAAAAAGCCAACAAAAAUAUAGAAAAUUACGAGUAAUUGACACUUCCAGAAAAUUUCCGUAAGUCAAAAUGAGAUUACCUAUAUACGAAGAAAAUUGAGAUGUAGAUCACUAGAUGUAAACAUUUGAGGCUGCCAUGAAACAUCAUUCCACCAUAUCAAAAUCAGACCCUAAAAAAGAGUCAAUUUCUGUAGAAGGUCCCUACCCAAUUUAUAUUUUUUGAAUUUAGUCCUUUCAUAUAAUUAGGUAUUUUUAAUCUCUCGCUUUUUAGAAAUUACAAAUUCAAUUGAAAGAGAUGGACACAAAAAUUGGUUAUACAAAUUAAAAAACUUUUUUACGUCUAUGAGACUUUAUCCAAAAUUUAAUUUAUUAUCAAUAUGCAGUGUAAGAUGUGAUUUAAGUUCAACUUUCUCACCAAAUUGUAACAUCGCUCCUAUAUAUCAAUAUAAGAUCAUUUUCUCCCACUAAGACUUUCCCUUGAAAUCUUAGCAACAAAUGGUUUACAAUAAAUUUACAUUAAGAAUUUCCUAACAAUCAAUAGACAAGUGCUCUCUCAUAAUCUUCUAUAAUGAGACAAACAAGUCUUCUUUAGAUAAGCAUUAAUGCCUAGUAAUUCUUCAAUUGGUGUGAACAUAUAUAUUCCCUUGAAUUGUUCUCGAAUAAAUUUUCAAUAAGGAAUCAAAAUAUGUAAAGAUUUUCGAGGAAUAAACUUCUGUUUCUAUAAAAACUCUCUCUAGCACAAAUAACAUAAAGUCUUUAAAUAGAGCAAUUGCUUGACUGAAUUUCGUCAUGAUCCAUUCCAUUAAAUUGUCGCUUAAAGUCUUCAAUAUGAUGUAAGAAUUAAAUAAAGAUUUUUCAAUAAAAAAUAUGCCAACAUAUUUAUGGUAGGUUGUACAACUUUCCAAUUGCACCUUAUUUUCAAUAUUGACAAUCAACUUUUUUCAUUAAUUCUGUCAAAAUAAUUUAGUAUGAUUAAAUACAUAUUUUGAAAACCAAAGAAAUUGAAAAAAAAAUUGUUGUAGGGACUAAAUCUUCCAAAAAUGUAAAAAUACAGGGACCUUAUAUACUAUUUGACCUUUAUUAAUAUCAUUCAUAAAUCAUAGAAUCACUUCCAAGUCCUGCACAAGUUACACGGUCAUGGGGAAAACUAUUAGCUGCUCUGUUUUAGUAGCUUUAAUAUCUUGAUUUUACUUACAGCUGCAGUUUGGCACUGCUUCACACACUAUAACAGCAUCAAAAUCCAUCAAAGACCCUGAUGUUAUAAUCUCCCAGAAUGGUGUUUUCCGAUUGGGAUUCUUCAGCUUGGCUAACUCCAGCAAUCGUUAUGUAGGGAUAUUGUACCAUCAAAUCCCCCUACAAACUGUUGUAUGGGUGGCAAAUAGAAACAGGCCUCUCAAAGACUUUUCUGGGAUUCUCACCAUAUCAGGUGAUGGCAACCUUGUUGUUUCCAAUGGAAAAGCUGAGAUUCUUUGGUCAACAAAUGUUACGAAUUUGGUUCCUAAUGCAACAACUGCACAGCUUGUAGACUCUGGAAACCUUGUCCUCAAUAACGGUGAGAAUGGAGGAAGCAGCAUCUUAUGGGAGAGUUUUCAACACCCUUCUAAUGUAUUCCUUCAAACUAUGAAGAUCAGCACUGAUGUAAAAACGGGUCGUAAGGUGCAGACGAGAUCAUGGAAAAGCCCUGAUGAUCCAUCUGACGGCAACUUUUUUCAAGGCAUUGAACCUUUCAGCAUCCCGGAGGGUGUCAUUUGGAACAAUAACCAGAUAUAUUUUCGGACCGGCCCAUGGAAUGGUCGUAUCUAUAUUGGUUUAAUAAAUGUUAAUAGAGUUUAUUUUGAUGGGUUUUAUGUGGUUGCAGAUGAUGUAGAAAAAACUUAUUACGAAACUUACGAAUAUUCUACUGACUCUAGGUUGAUAUACUUUGAAUUAGAGUCUGACGGAAGAUACGUUGAACGAAUAUGGGAUGCGGGGAAAGGGGACUGGAUAAACGGGUACUCUAGUUAUCUAACAGAUUGUGAUGUUUAUGGAAAGUGUGGGGCAUUUGGAAUCUGCGAUUCAACGAAACGACCCAUUUGCAGUUGUUUGAAAGGAUUUAAGCCUAGGAAUAUAGAGGAAUGGAGUAGAGGUAAUUGGAGUAGUGGGUGUUUUAGGACUACCCCUUUGCACUGCCAAAGAGAUAACAACAAUGGAAGUGAAGCAGGCCAAGGAGAUGAUGGGUUUUUAAAGCUGAAGAAGAUGAAAGUACCGGUAUUUCCAGACCAGUCAUCAAUAACUAACGGCGAAUGCAAAGAUCAAUGCAUGAAGAAUUGUUCGUGCGUGGCUUAUGCGUAUGAUGCUGGCAUUGGUUGCAUGUUAUGGAGUGGAGAUUUGAUUGAUGUCCAGAAAUUCUCUAAUCGGGGAGUCGAUCUUUACAUUCGUCUGCCGUCUUCGGAACUUGGUAAACUUGUCUUCGAUAUCGACCAUGUGUGUGACGAAUCGCAUCAAUUAAUCUUCACUUUUGGUUUAGAUGUUUUAUUAACCAUGUUUCUGGAUUUGCAGAUAAAAGGAAUAGUGAGAUAAUUGUUAUUACAACAGUAAUUUCAGGCAUGGUCGUGAUUAUAAUAAUUUCUGCACUCUUCUUAUUGCGUAGAAUGGGUCAACAAAGAGGUAAAAUGUCCACCUUUAUUUAUUUAAUCUUUGUAGUCACUUUUUUUAAGAAAUAUGUAAAUUCUUUAACAGUUCUGGAUUUAAAGGUAUUUUUCACUCUAUUUAAAUUCAAGUUUUAGAUAAAAUAAAAUAAAAUUGGAAUAGAAUUGAGUCUAACUCGAAUACGGAGAAAUGCUCUAAACUUGAUUGAGUACUAUUAUAAAAGUUAAAGACCGAAUUCAAGUGAAAUUAAAUUAUUUCAAUUUUGCUCAAUUAAGUUCGUUUAUAUAAGUUACAUAUUCGUAUUUGAUUUUUAUAUAUAUAUUCAAAGUUAAAUUCGCACUCAUUUCAGAUAUAUAUUUAUAUUUAAAUAACGUGGACCAUGUGUUAGAUAAAUUGGGUGAAUUAAUUUGCAAUUCUUUUGGGUCGAAGUUAAUUUCAUAAACCAAGUUUCUGGAUUUGCAGAUAAAGGGAAAAGUAGUAAGGUCGUCUUUGUUAUUACAACAGUAACUGUGGGCAAUUAUGUAGCCUUCAACUCAUUGCUUCUUUGAUUUCCGUCACAGGAAGGAAUAAAAGAUGGACACAUAUCAAAGACAAAUUUCAUGGUGAAAAUAAAGGAGAAAGUUCAAUCGGUGUUAAACUCCAGCAGCUUCCACUAUUCAAUUUCGAAGAACUUGCCACCGCGACCAACAACUUCCAUCCCCUAAAAAGCUAGGGCAGGGUGGUUUUGGUCCGGUUUACAAGGUAAUAUAUAAUAGCAAUUUCCGGUUGUUAGAAUUCAUCAUCACUGGCCCAAAGCCGGAUCGUAAUGAGCUCGUAGGCCAGGCUCGUUAGUCGAGAACUUUGCAAGAAAGCAAGGCAACUUGCGAGGUCACUACAAUCUGACCUAAACCCAUUCGGAUUUUGAGCUGAUGAUGAUAAUUAUCCUAAAACUGGUGAAUCUAGAGUCAAUGAAAUGACAAUUUUUUUUUAAUCAAGUAUUGUAGUCUGAAUUUUGAGUGCAGGGAACAUUAGAUGAUGGAAAGGAAAUAGCAGUGAAGAGAUUGUCGAAAGCGUCGGGGCAAGGUUUGGAAGAAUUUAUGAACGAAGUGGUGGUUAUUUCUAAACUCCAACAUCGAAAUCUGGUUAAAUUGUUUGGGUGUUGUGUUGAAGCAGAAGAGAAGAUGCUCGUCUACGAGUUUAUGCCCAACAAAAGUUUGGAUUCUUUUCUAUUCGGUUAGUAAUUUAUUCAAAUUUUAUAUGAUAUUUUGGGUCUCUAAUCAAAUUCAUAAUUCAGUUCACAAAAAUAAUGUUCUCCCAUAAAUGUUUUUUCCGUUCACAAAAUUUAAAUUUAGGUGUAGUGAUAUUUUGAUUCUCUUCACCGUUUAAUAUUUAUUUCAAUUUAUUGACAUAACUUCAAUUAUGUCUACAAUCAUAAUGAAUACAAUUUGGUAGAAAUACUAUGAUGGUUGUAGUUUAGAUCCUCAAUUAUAGGAAUUCAUUAUUAAUUUAGUAGGUUUUUAUGUUUAAAUUUUGUUAUAGAUCCCGUUAAAAAAAAACUUUUGGAUUGGAGAAAACGCUUUAAUAUUAUUGAAGGGAUCAGUCGAGGAUUGCUUUAUCUUCAUAGAGAUUCAAGAUUGAAAAUUAUACACAGAGACCUAAAAGCAAGUAAUGUUUUACUUGACCAAGAGCUAAACCCAAAAAUUUCAGAUUUUGGGAUAGCCAAGAUCUUCGGAGGUGACGAAAAUCAAGCCAACACUAUAAGGGUUGUUGGAACUUAGUAAGUUGGAACUUCCUUCCUACCAUUUCUUUUUAUGCUCUUUUUAAUAAAAU